This 64584-nucleotide long non-coding RNA is filed under the name Malus domestica (apple). Lineage: Eukaryota; Viridiplantae; Streptophyta; Magnoliopsida; Rosales; Rosaceae. The record is from RNAcentral.
CAGCAAUAUGGUGGGCCCCAGGAAUAUGAACAACAGCAGUAUGGUGGGCCACAGGAAUAUCAGGCCAGAGGCAGGGGAGGACCGACUCAGCAAGGAGGUCGUGGUAGUUAUGGAGGUGGUCGUGGUGGUGUUGGCCGUGGAGGACCACCUUCUCCUGGUGGGCCAACCAGACCUCAGUUCCCCGAGCUGCACCAAGCAACCCCAGUUCCUUACCAAGGGGCCACCCAUCAAGUUCCUUAUCAAGGGCUCACCUCUCCGCCUGUAUAUGUGGGAAGUUCAUCAUCAUCCCAGCCGCCCGAGCCUUCAGAAGUGGCGGAGCAGCUCGCUGUCCUUACUGUCCAGCAAGAGAGUGCACCUAGCCAGGCUAUUCAACCGGUGGCACCCUCGAGUAAAUCAGUCAGGUUCCCGCUUCGCCCUGGUAAGGGUAGCACUGGCAGAAGGUGUACAGUCAAGGCAAACCAUUUCUUUGCAGAAUUACCUGACAAAGACCUCCACCAGUAUGACGUAAGCUCUCUUGCCAUUUGUCUCUAUCUUUUGAUAUUGUACUACGGUGGAUAAUAUAUCUUUUCAUCAUAUGUAUUAGGUUACCAUUACGCCGGAGGUCACAUCAAGGGGUGUAAAUCGUGCUGUGAUGGAGCAGCUGGUGACACUGUACAGGGAAUCCCAUCUUGGAAAACGUCUACCAGCUUAUGAUGGACGAAAGAGCCUGUAUACUGCCGGCCCACUUCCUUUCCUUUCAAAGGAGUUUAAAAUCACUCUUACUGAUGAUGAUGAUGGUCCAGGUGGACAAAGGUGCGUACUCACAGCUCUUUAUUUUUAGUUACAUUUUUUCUGUGCACUCUUAUUUUGUAUGUAUUUGAUCAUGGCUUCUUCUUGAUGGCAGGAGAGAGAGGGAAUUUAGGGUUGUCAUAAAAUUUGCAGCACGUGCUGACCUUCACCAUUUAGGUCUCUUUUUGCAAGGGAGGCAAGCUGAUGCACCUCAAGAGGCGCUUCAGGUUUUGGACAUUGUUCUGCGCGAAUUGCCUACUUCUAGGUAAACAAUUUCUUCCGCGUGUUGAUGACAUGAUGACACAUUCUUGUUUUAUAUGUUUGAUAGCUAAUUUUUUCCUCUUUGUUUGUAGGUACUGUCCCGUGGGCCGUUCAUUUUAUGCCCCUGGUUUGGGUAGAAGACAGUCACUUGGUGAGGGUUUGGAAAGUUGGCGUGGGUUUUAUCAGAGUAUUCGUCCAACUCAGAUGGGGCUGUCUCUGAAUAUUGGUACUUAAUUUUGUGCUAUCCCAACAUGCAUCAUUUCUGUGAAUAACAGAUUAUCUACUUUCAUCAAUUUGAUUGUAGUAAUUGUGAUGUGUUACACUGCAUAGUUAUUCCGCUGAUUGGUGUUUUGUUUACAUGCUGUCUAGAUAUGUCCUCUACUGCUUUUAUUGAGCCGCUGCCAGUUAUUGAGUUUGUAACACAGCUACUGAAUCGGGAUGUUACACAUAGGCCACUCUCUGAUUCUGAUCGUGUAAAGGUUAGGUUUCCGUCAUUGUUUCCGUUUUGGUGAUUUAAUUGUUUCUAUUGAGUGUUUGUUUCAAAGUGUGACAAUUAUUGGGGUGUUGGUACUUUUAAUCUGUUUCGUGUUUCCUUGUGCAUUUCUGUUUGUGAAAAUUAACUUACAUGUGUAAAAACUCGUUGACUGGGGUUAAUGUUUGUGUAGUUAUUUUUGAGGUAACCUUUCAUUCUUAUAUAUUCACUUAAAACUAUAUGUUUUAUAGAUCUGAUGCUGUAGAUGCAGCGUGUAUCACGGUUGAUGUACAGCUAUAUUUGCCAUCAUUUUUAUAUUAGAUAUCAUAGUAACCUUUUAAUUGUGAACAGAUAAAAAAGGCUCUUCGUGGAGUCAAGGUUGAGGUCACACACCGAGGAAAUAUGCGCAGAAAGUACCGUAUUUCUGGUUUAACGUCGCAGGCAACAAGGGAACUGACGUGAGUACUUAUUAACUUUUAUAUUUGUAUAUUUCUUAUGCUUUCCUAUGCUUGUAUAUUUCUUAACUUCGUAUUUGUAUUAAGAGCACAUUGAGGUGUGUGAAACUUGUUUCCCUGAUAUUGUAUUUUGUCCGUUCAGUUUCCCUGUUGAUGAAAGAGGAACUAUGAAAUCUGUUGUUGAGUACUUCUAUGAAACUUACGGGUUUGUCAUUCAACAUGCACAAUGGCCUUGCCUUCAAGUUGGAAAUCAGCAGCGACCGAACUAUUUGCCCAUGGAGGUGAGUUGUUUCUAUAAUUUCUAGCUUGUAAAUACUAGAUGUGGAUGCUAAUGAGCAGUAACUGGAUUCAGGUUUGUAAAAUUGUCGAAGGUCAAAGGUAUUCCAAGAGAUUGAACGAGAGACAGAUAACUGCUUUGCUUAAGGUCACCUGCCAGCGCCCUCAUGACAGGGAGCAAGAUAUUAUUCGGGUGUGUUAUCUUUUGAUUAUUCUAUUUAUCAUGACAUAUUUUUUGUUGCAGUUGAUGCCAUGAGCCCUUUGCUUACUGCUUUGUUAUUUGAUAAUAUUGUCAUCUUGCUGUCCUUAACUUUUAUCUUCUGUGUCAUAAUUUAAAUGCUCACAUCAUUUGAAGUUUUAUGGUAGAAGGCAUCUCUUAUCCAGAAAUACAAUUGAUGGUGAUAUGUUAAUUCCCAGUUUAAUAUUUUUGUACAUGUUACAGACGGUUCGUCAUAAUGCUUACCAUGAAGAUCCUUACGCCAAGGAGUUUGGAAUCAAAAUUAGUGAGAAUCUGGCUCAGGUUGAAGCUCGUAUUCUUCCUGCACCCUGGGUAAGAUAUGUAAUUGCGUUCAGUCCCAAAAGGUACUUUGAUAGUAUAUCUGUAUUGAUUUUUAUUUUGCGUAGCUGAAAUAUCAUGAUACUGGACGGGAAAAGGAUUGCCUGCCCCAAGUUGGUCAGUGGAACAUGAUGAAUAAGGUAAUAUUUUGGCACCCCUCUAAACCCUUAUUUACGUUGACUUAAGUGUGUGGUCAAUGUGAUCUACCUUUCGACCCAAAGAAAGUCCUAUUAUUUAUGCAUUAAUGUUUCUUUAAUGCCUUUAUUUAUUGUCUUCAGUCACACAUGUGAAAUUAUAUAUCUGGAUAUUUGUAUGAUUGACUUUUUAACUGUUUACCCACUUUACUAUGUGAUUAUUCAUAUAGUAGUUCCAAUGUUUUAAAAGGCUCGCCUUAGGGUGCGCCUAGGUGCCCUGUGAGGCUGGGCUUAAGGGUUGCCGCCUCUGUUUUGAGGGAGUGGGCGGAAGGCGUCGGAAGGCACCGCCUAGGCACGCCUCAGGGGAUUUUUUUAUUUUAUUUUAUUUUUAUUAACUCCCAAACCCAAAUUUUGGGUAGGGUUUUAACUGCCUCAUACCUCUUCCUUGCACUAUCAUCUCUCUGCCUUUUUUUCUGAUUUUUAUUUUUUUAUAUAAUGGAUGUGUGUGCUGUCUGCAUGCAUUGUUAUAUGUGUGCUCAUUGUGCUUUUCAUCCUCUAUUAUAUAUAUAUAUAUAAAAUAUAAUAUUUAUAUAUAUGUGUGUAUAUGUAUUUAUAAUAUGUGUGUGCUCAGGGUAAUUAUUGAUUAAUAAUCUUCUUCUUUUUUUAAUGUAAUAUAUGCGUAUGCUCAGUGUAUAUAUUAAAAAAUUUAGGUCCCGUGAGGCUUCGCCUCAUGCCUAGGCUGGGCUAUCCCUCAAACGCCUCACCCACGCCUCACCCACGCCUCACGCUUUUAAUACAUUGAGUAGUUCUCAUGUUUACGUGGUUAAUAAAUACUUAGUUGGACAUAUGGUUAUAUCUGUAGACAAAUGAAUGUCCCAUGUCUUGCUCAAUUAUUACAGCCCAUUUGGAUUACUAUGAUAUUUUGCAGAAAAUGGUCAAUGGAGGAAAAGUAAACAAUUGGAUUUGCAUUAAUUUUUCAAGAAAUGUUCAAGACAGUGUGGCCCGGUCCUUCUGUAAUGAACUUGCUCAAAUGUGUUACAUUUCUGGCAUGGUAUGGAAAUUUUCUUUAUUAUUACGGUUUCCACUGGCUUUAAUUGCAUUGUUAGUUUUCUAUAUUUGGAUUUCUCUGAUGCUGAAGUGUAUUUUUUUAUAGGCGUUUAAUCCAGAACCUGUACUUCCACCACUCGGAGCUCGACCUGAUCAGGCAGAGAAGGCCUUAAAAACUAGGUACCAUGAUGCAAUGACCAAACUCCGGCCCCAGAGCAAGGAGCUUGACCUGCUUGUCGUGAUUUUACCAGAUAAUAAUGGCAAUCUUUACGGUAUGUGUUUGAAAUCGUUUGGCUCCAUUAUCUCUUUCUGCUUUUUAUUUCUCUCUAUAAUAUCGUCCCAAUUUUGUGUUGUCCUGAAGUUCUAGAUUCUUGUAUGUACUGAUAUCCAUCCAGGUGACUUGAAACGAAUUUGUGAGACGGAUCUUGGCCUGGUAUCCCAGUGCUGUUUGACGAAACACGUUUUCAAAAUGAGUAAACAAUACUUGGCAAAUGUUGCUUUGAAGAUAAAUGUGAAGGUUGGCGGAAGGAACACAGUACUUAUUGAUGCACUGUCAAGACGUAUUCCUUUAGUCAGUGACCGUCCUACUAUAAUUUUUGGUGCUGAUGUUACCCAUCCUCAUCCAGGGGAGGAUUCAAGCCCAUCAAUUGCAGCUGUAUGUUGUCGAUUAUAUCUAUGGGUUUUAGCUAGUGCUUUUGUAUUUGUCUUGAAUUCACAUGGAGAGUCACAGUUUAAUUGUUCACAUGUCGUUUAUGACACAGGUUGUGGCCUCACAAGACUGGCCAGAAAUUACCAAGUACGCUGGCUUGGUCUGUGCUCAAGCUCAUCGCCAGGAGCUCAUCCAGGACCUGUUCAAAACAUGGCAGGAUCCUCAGAGGGGUACUGUAACUGGUGGAAUGAUAAAGUCUCUCUCUCCCUCUCUCUAUCUCUCUCAAUUAUAUUAAUUCUCUACUUAGUGGGGAUUGUUAGGAAUUGUAGAACUGAGUUAAAUUUGUAUGUUAAUGUAGGGAACUGCUGAUUUCAUUCCGUAGAGCAACAGGACAGAAGCCACAGCGCAUCAUAUUUUACAGGCAUUUAAUGCUCCUUUGCCAUUGUUUGUGUCCUAUGUACUUCUCCUAUUUCUAAUGGUGUGUGUAUACACGUUUGUGUUUUCAGGGACGGUGUCAGUGAAGGGCAGUUCUACCAAGUUCUACUAUACGAGCUUGAUGCGAUUCGUAAGGUGAACUUGCAUUUUUGGGAUUAUUCUUUAGUAUAGUUGUGCAUUUUGUUCUUUUUUAGUAAUAUUAUUAACCUCUUUUUGCUUCUGGCAUUGUUUUCUUCUUCAGGCUUGUGCUUCCUUGGAGCCAAACUAUCAGCCACCUGUGACUUUUGUUGUGGUUCAAAAACGGCACCACACCAGGUUGUUUGCCAACAACCAUAAUGACCGUAAUGCAGUUGACAGGAGUGGAAAUAUCUUACCUGGUAAUUAAUUUUACUGAAUAUGAAAUGUUUGGAUGAUGUAGUUCAGUUUUCAUGCUUGUUAUACGGAACUUUUACCCAAUUUUUUCUGCAGGUACGGUUGUGGACUCCAAAAUCUGUCAUCCAACAGAGUUUGACUUCUACCUCUGCAGCCAUGCUGGAAUUCAGGCAAUGAUUUUUCCUUGUGUUUUCAGUGGGGUGUGUGUUUGUGAAGCAGCAUGUUUAUAAAUCUGUAUACACCAUGUUUUGACAGGGUACAAGCCGUCCGGCUCAUUACCACGUGCUGUGGGAUGAAAACAAGUUUACAGCUGAUGAACUGCAGUCACUCACAAACAAUCUUUGCUAUACGUAAGUUGGCUAAUUUAGCAGUUUCAGUCAUUGAAAUUUUUAUUUAUUCAUAUUUUCGAAUCCUUAAACUCCAGUGCUGAAUAGUUGAUCUUUUGAACUCUUGCAGGUAUGCAAGAUGCACGCGUUCGGUUUCCAUUGGUAGACUCUCUCUGAUGCUUUCUCAUUAUUUUCUUGUUUGUACUUAAAAUAGGCAGUGUUCUGAUCUUAGCUUUAAAAUUGCAGUUCCUCCGGCGUACUAUGCCCAUCUUGCUGCAUUCCGAGCUCGGUUUUACAUGGAACCAGAGACAUCAGACAGCGGAUCAAUGACCAGUGGUGCUCCUGGACGUGGGGGCAUGGGUGGCGGUAUGGGUCCGCGGAGCACGAGAGCACCAGGUGCAAAUGCUGCAGUGAGGCCCUUGCCUGCCCUCAAGGAGAAUGUCAAAAGGGUUAUGUUCUACUGUUAGAGAGAGAGAGAGAGAGGGAGAGAGAGGAGUCGUUUAGUAGAGGUUGCGAAGAGAUGUCGCCUCAAGAGUGUAGGAAGAUUAUGCAUUGUAAUGUCGUCGUUUUGGAGUCUGCCUAGUGCCAAAGGGUGUCUAUAGCCUUUGCUGCACCUGUGUUUUAGAUGUCUGUCGGUUAGUAUUUGAAAUUUGCCGUUGCAACUGACUGGUAUGCGGUUGUUACUGCACUGCGCCAGUCAGGUGUUUUGGCAAGUUAGUAAUCUUAUGCUCUCGUUUAGAUGGAAUUCGGACAACUAAAACUAGUUGCUGCUUUCGUUUAAUUUAUUAAGUGUCUUGUCUUGUACAACUUUCAGCUUUAAUUCUCUUGUUGGAAUGCAUUCUUGCGCUUUGUUUUAAAGGAAAACUAAUGAAAAAAAUUUGAAACUCUAAGUUUUAAUGAAAAUGUGUUGCAAGUGAAUAGUAUAAGAAUUGACUUUUUAGUGUAAAAAUAUGGUUUUUCAUUAAACAGUAUUGUGAGCUUUUUGUUAAAAUUUUCUUGUUUUAAUUUAUCUUAAAGAAAUAACAUAAAAGAAGAAUGAUAUGGUUUUUUAUUUCCAAGGGAUUAUGGGAUUAGACAUUUGCGAAAAGUAUCUUUCUAAGUCUACUAUUUUCAUGAGAUUGAAUGGAUAAGUUUUAUUCGUAAGAAAUCCGUCGAGUUUUUCAUUUCUUCCUUCAAGCUUCUUAGAAAUACUUUAUUCAUUCUAUUCCAAUAUUCUCUACGAAAUGAGGCUUCUCUCGCAUACAAAUUUCUGUUUUCCUCGGUCAAUUUGAAGUGCAAAGUAGUUUUCCUUUGUCUAUUACGUUAUGCAGACGACAAGGUUGAUAUGUCAAAGAUUUAGGUAUAAUGUUAAUAAUUAGUUUUGUACUAGUAAGGGUGUAUUGUUGGUGUUACUAGUUUAUUUAUUAUUUUAUACGGACAACAAGAUUGAUAUGUCAUAAACUUCGAGCAUUAAUGAAAUAUUCACGUAAUAUGAAUGAAUGUAUUGGUAACACUUAGUGACAGUGUGUCAUGAUUGUGGUGGUGAAAAAACGUGUGGACAAUUUGAGGUAAAACAUGUCGUAAACUUGAGAUCGGAACAAGGAUAAAAAUGCACGUUUACGAAGACCAAGUACGAAUUGCUUGAGAUUCUUUCCCUCCACUUUUAAAACAAAUAUACCACAACGAACGCCAAAUCUGGUUGAUUUGCUUUAACCCAUUUUAUAAUUCCUUUCUUGCUUUCAUCUUUCCUUUCCCACAUAAAGGCAUUAAAGAAUAAAGGUUGUUCUUUCUCCUCCCAUGGCAAUUUCAGCCAUACGUAACCUAACCACUCUUCUCUUCCUGCAUUUUAAAGUUCCCUAUAAAUUCACCAAUAAACGAAACCAACGUUCAUUAAACUAAACCAACUUCGAAGAUCGCUUGUGAUCGGUUGUGCUAAUUAGUUGACUGAAAUGGCUUCCACCUCCUCAGCUUUGAAGCGAUCUGAUACGAUUGCAGAAACCAUGCCAGAUGCACUCAGGGAGAGCCGCUUUCAUAUGAAGAAAUGUUUUGCCAGGUUCUUUGAUUUUUUUUUCAUACAAUAUUUAUUUAUUUAUUCAUUAUAUGUUUGUGAAAUUCGAGUCUUGAUGUUCUUGUUUAAUUAAUUAUUAAUUAACAAAUUUAAACAUGCGUGCAAAAAGUUUUGUUGGAACGGGGAAAAGGCUAAUAAAGCCCCAGCAUAUAAUGGAGGAGCUGGAAAAAUCGAUAGAAGACAGGCAUGAAAGAAGCAAGGUCUUGGAGGGUUUACUUGGUUACAUCCUCAGUCGUACUCAGGAGGCAGCUGUUGUUCCACCGUAUGUCGCUUUUGCUGUGAGACCGAAUCCCGGUUUCUCCGAAUUUGUUAAGGUGAAUGCAGAUGACCUAGCAGUGGAUGGCAUUUCUGCUACCCAAUACUUGAAGUUCAAAGAAAUGAUCUUUGACGAAAGCUGGUACGUAUUAUACGCAUGCGUAUGUAGCUACGUGUAUAUAUAAUAUAUAUGCGUAACUGCUGUCAUAUUAAUUUGAGCGAUGCAUGCAUGCAACAGGGCGAACGAUGAAAAUGCUUUGGAAAUAGAUUUUGGAGCCUUCGAUUUCUCUACUCCUCGAAUGACUCUUCCUUCUUCGAUCGGAAAUGGACUCAACUUCGUCUUAAAGUUAAUCUCAUCAAGGCUCAGUACUCAUGCCAGCUGCUCCGAUUAUGCUAAACCCCUCCUUGACUACUUAUUACCACUUAAUUAUCACGGAGAGGUAGAAAUCACAUAUGUCACUUUUGUUUGAGAUUAACUGAUUAAUUACUUGAUCUUUUGCGGCCUCUCUAUUAAUUUGUUCUAAUUAAAGUACAAUGUAUAUAUAUGCAGAAUCUUAUGAUCAAUGAAAGUCUGGAUACCGUUGAAAAACUCCAAACCGCAUUGAUCCGAGCAGAAGUACUCGUCUCCACACUUCCAAAAACCACACCAUUUCCGAAUUUUGAGCAAAGGUUAUCUCUCAUGCACCUUAACUAAAGAAUGUAUGUGUUAUAUAUAUAUGCUGCAGAUCUUGAUUUUUUAUAUACGGACAAAUGUAUUUAAUCUUGAUCAGGUUUAAAGUGUUGGGUUUUGAGAAGGGAUGGGGAGAUACAGCAGAAAGAGUUGGGGAGACAAUGAGGUUGCUGUCAGAAGUACUCCAAGCGCCAGACUCGGUGAAGUUGGAGUCGUUGUUUAGCAGACUUCCUAACACAUUCAACAUCGUUAUCUUCUCUCCUCACGGCUACUUUGGCCAGUCGAAUGUCCUUGGAUUGCCCGACACGGGUGGCCAGGUGGUUUAUAUUCUUGAUCAAGUGAGAGCUUUGGAGGAAGAGUUGCUUCUCAGAAUAAAACAACAAGGCCUUGCUGUGAAACCUCAGAUUCUUGUGGUGAGCUGGACUGACUAUGCAUAAACAAAAGAAUACUGAAUAAUGUGUACAUAUUGCAUUUCUAAUUUGUACUUUGUACCUACAAUGUAUGUACGUACCUGUCAUGUACACAGGUGACACGACUUAUACCAGACGCUCGAGGAACAAAAUGCAACCAGGAGUUGGAAGCUAUCAUCGACACUAAGCACUCCCACAUCCUUAGGGUUCCAUUCAGGACAGAAAAAGGCGUUCUCCGCCAAUGGGUUUCUCGUUUCGAUAUCUACCCUUAUCUCGAGACAUUUGCACUGGUUCAUCUUCUCACUCUAGCUGUCAUAUAUGUGACCAAUUUAGUCUACUGAUCUCAUUUCUCCAGUACUCGUCAUGAGUUUUUGGAAAGAAAAAGUACGAUUUACAUAUUUAUUCUGUUCUCAUCGUUGUUUCUUAGGAUGCAACUGCAAAGAUCUUACGACACAUGGAAUGCAAACCGGACCUCAUAAUUGGGAACUACAGUGAUGGAAACCUGGUGGCCUCUCUGAUUGCUUCUAAACUUGGAAUCACUCAGGUCUAAGUCUAUACACGUAAACACCUCCUUCGAUAUAUAAUUGUUGGUUAAAAACUUGAAUCUCAACUUAAUUAACUUGUUCCAAGUAAUUAACCCUCUGCAGGGAACGAUUGCGCAUGCGCUAGAAAAGACCAAGUACGAAGAUUCUGAUGCCAAAUGGAAGGAAUUUGAUCCAAAAUACCACUUCUCUUGUCAGUUCACAGCUGACAUAAUCUCUAUGAAUUGUGCUGAUUUUGUCAUAACAAGCACAUUCCAAGAAAUUGCCGGAGGGUUAGUAGUCUUUUAUGCCAAAACCAUAAUUACUUGACACAAUCGUCUCCUUAAUCGAUCGAUGUGUUCUUUUCAUGUUGCAGCAAGGACCGACCUGGACAGUACGAAAGCCAUACAGCAUUUACAAUGCCAGGACUUUAUCGAGUCGUGUCAGGCAUUGAUGUGUUUGAUCCAAAGUUCAACAUUGCUGCCCCUGGUGCUGACCAAUCCGUCUACUUUCCCUACUCCGAGAAACAAAAACGAUUUACCAAGUUUCAACCUGCCAUCGAAGAACUACUCUACAAGAAAGAGGAAAACGAUGAGCACAUGUAAUUAAUUCUUACACAUCUGUCAAUUCUUGCACAUUUGUUGUGGCAAUUUCUUAAUGAAAACUCUUGAAAAAUAAAACAUGGUUGGAACAGAGGAUUUUUGGCAGACCAGAAGAAACCGAUCAUAUUCUCAAUGGCAAGGCUGGACACAGUGAAGAACCUCACAGGACUCGUUGAGUGGUUUGGAAAGAACAAGAGGCUGAGGAAUUUGGUCAAUCUUGUAAUCGUUGGGGGAUUCUUCGAUCCAUCUAAAUCCAAAGACAGAGAAGAAAUUGCUGAAAUCAAGAAACUGCAUGCCUUGGUGCAAGAAUAUCAACUUAGCGGUCAGUUCAGAUGGAUAGCGGCUCAGACUGACAGAUACCGAAAUGGGGAGCUGUACCGGUGCAUUGCAGACACAAAGGGAUCUUUCGUGCAGCCUGCGCUGUACGAAGCGUUCGGUCUCACAGUCAUUGAGGCCAUGAACUGUGGGUUGCCUACAUUUGCAACCAACCAAGGAGGCCCUGCAGAAAUCAUUGUGGAUGGCGUCUCAGGUUUCCAUAUUGAUCCCAACAAUGGUGAUGAAUCCAGCAACAAGAUUGCUGACUUCUUUGAGAAAUGCAAGACGGAUGGCGAAUACUGGAAGAAGAUGUCAGCUGCCGGUCUGCAGCGUAUAAACGAAUGGUAUGACUGCAGGCCUAUUUGAGACUGUUUUUGGAAUAACUAAAGUGUUUUGCAAUAACGAAAAGCAUUUCUAACUACGUUUUAAACCUCAAGAACACUUAAACGCACUUGUAGCAAAAGGGUUUGCUAUUGUGCAUGAUCUUAUUGAUUUUUGGUUUUCUUGCAGCUAUACAUGGAAGAUAUAUGCAAACAAAGUGUUGAACAUGGGAUCAACUUAUGGAUUUUGGAGGCAGUUGAGAGACGCGCAAAAGUUAGCCAAGGAAACCUACAUUCAUAUGUUUUACAAUCUCCUCUUUAGGAAAUUGGUACGUCUCGUGAUUCUGACCCUGCCAUAAUCACUCUUAAACAGGCCGUAAAAUACACGUUGUAUGUUAAUGCAGGCAAAGAAUGUGGCUGUCCCAAGUGAUGGAUACGAACAACCGGCGCCAAAGGCCGUAACUGCAUCUGUCGACCAACGCGCGCCGGCAGCAGUAUCCAAACCUCCGCAGCCAGAUGCAGCACCAACCUUAGCAAUCCCUCAGCUGACACCAAGGUAUCUAAUUAGUACGUAACGUAGGGAACUUGCUUAAUUAAAUUCAGAAUUUUUUUAAUGCUAAUUAGAUGGAUUAAUUCAUUUGGCAGGGAGAGGGAUGAAGGUGGGGAGCUUGGCCAACCUCGAAGCCGCAGCAGAGCACGAUGCCCAUGGAAUUGCUGCUGCGUCAUCCUUGGUUUUCUCAUCAUUCUUUAUUACAAGAUUAGGAAUAUGUACAAUUAAGUGUUAAGUGUAUAAAUAAAUUAAAAUUGAAGCGAUAUCAACUCACAAUGAUCAUGUAAAUUUUAAAUUCUCUCCAACUUCCAAUAAAACAAUAAAGAUCAGUUACAGUAUUCAGUAUUCUGUAUUCUGUAUUCUUUUUUCCUUUUUUUUUUUCCUAAAGGAAGCCACACUUUCCCUUCUUCUCCGCCCGUCUUCUUCCGCAAACUGUACUGCAGUUUCAAGUUUCUACCAACGCAAUUUAAGCCAAUUUAUAUAAUUUGAACAAAUAUAAGUUUCCAACAAUAAUUUAAAUGUCUGCUUUCGUGUAUGGGGGGUUGUAGGCAAGGGAGAAGAGGAUCUGUGACAAUCACAAAUUUCAGUUCACUACAGCAACUGCAAUUGCAGUGACUGAGGCUGGGGAUUUGGUGGCGGUGAGAGGUGUGGAUGAACGACUGGGGAAGGGAGGGGAAGGUGGCCUGGCGUUUUCAGGGUUUAGGUGGAUAAAUUUUUAGAUUAAAUUUACAAAUGUGACAUGGCACUAAUAAAAAAUAAGUAUGUUCGUUAAUAAUUUAAUAAUAAUUCAAUUAUCAGUUAUUACGUUAUACAAUUUAUAAAAUAUAAUUUAAGUAGAUGAUAUUCUUAACAUUACUCGUUUUAUAGUUCAAACGCGUUUUAAAAUUUAUAAGCAAUUGUUAUUGGUGGAUUAAUAUUGUAUUAUAUUUUUAAUAGAAAGUUAACGAAAGUGACUAAGAUGCAAACAUUGUCAAACAUUGUGAUUAAAUUGGCUAAGUUAAAAUCGAACUUACUAAAAUAAAUUUGACAAUCACACAGUAAUUAAAAAUAAAAUCCUGUUUUAUAUAUAUAUAUAUAUAUAUUACAGUAAUUGAUUUGAUAGCGAUUUUGAUAAGGCCCCCCUCAUCAACUUGAUUUGAUAGCGAUUUUAAGGGCCUCCUCCUCCUCAUCAACUGAUUCAACUUUGUGAAAUGGUCCUGCACAAAUAAUAUAACUUUGAACGUUAAAACCAGAAACUAAACUGAAUCAAUCAUCCCCCACUAAAUCUUCUUUACUUUUCCAAUUUCCACUUGCACACCAAAAUUCAAAAUUUAAAUUUAAAUUUGUGGAGGAAAAAUUCCAAGAAAUAAAUGAGUAGUGGGUCCUGCUGUGCUGGCAGUGGCAGGCACCAGGCACUGCCACCCUCGGCCACGGUGGACCACUUUGUUUUUAACGUGGCAAUUUACUCUUUGGACGUGAUUAAGAAAGAUAUAUUGAUAAUAGAAUAAGAUCUUUUCCGGAUUAGGGAAUUCGGAUGAUCAAUCUAUCAUGUUUGUCUAUCGUAUAUAAUACGGUUAUAAAUUAUUUUAAAAUUUUAAUUUAAAAUUGAAUAUAGCACCUAACAAAAAUUAACAGCACGAUAUACGAUAAACAAACAUGAUUAAUUGAUCUUUAGAUCCCACAAAGAUGAUUCAAAUAGAAUCCUUGUCCGUGGAUAGUCAAGGAGGUAAACGACGACCAUGCCAGUGCACGUGCCACUCUAUACCACAUGCAUUUGCAUUGCCACUACCUCUUCUUGAUUUUUUAAGAAAAUGUUACCAGAGAUAAAAUUUGAAAAAUAAAAACUAGGUCAAGUGGACAUAAAAAGUCUAAACAUUUAAUUAUUUAACUUAAGUAUGAAUAACUAUUUAAUUUUAGGAUGAUAUUAGUCUCAACAUUUUAAAAUAUUUUUAGUAAUUAUUUAACGUUUUAAAAAAUAGACAUAUAUUAAGUUACCAUUGUAAUUGAUGAAGGCAAAUAUUCAAAUAAUUUUAACAGACACGGUGAAAUCAUAUCACCAACACUUAAUGCUAGUGACUUAACAAGUGCAUAAUUCUCAAGUCGUUAGGUAUUUGUUUAAAAUGUAUUAAAAAGUUGAAAACAAUUUAGAAUCAUCCUUGUUAGGUAACUUUUUUUACGUAAGUAACACAAAUUUGUAGACAUGUGCAUAACUAAAUUGACUAGAGUAAUGUACUCUCCCAUCUGAAUCUGAAAUUGAAUCUCUCUCCUUUAAUGUAUAAUAUCAUCAGUUGUAAAAAAUAAAAGGACUUAAUACAAACCCCCCAAAUCUCCAGGACUCCAAUUCUAAUUUAUAGAUUAGUAUGUGAAAAAAUAAAAAGGUGUUAGACUAAUUUGGCAAAUGGUGAUGCUAGAAAAAUUAUUUACUUGAAUCAUAUUUUAUAGAUCAUAUAAUGUGUCAGUUGAUAGUUGGAUUUGUACAUUUAAUUCAAUUCAUUAAAUUAUUAAAAAAAAAGAAUUCAAUCAUCAACCGUCACAUUAGUCUACAAAAUAUAGUCUAAACACAUGAUGUUCUUAGCAGUUUCUUUGGUAAAUAAAUUACGAAACGAGUUUCGAAGUGUAUAUUCUGUCAAUGAUCAAUCAAUCAACGGGGUUUGGACUUUGGCCUAAGAAUAAAUCUUGAAGAGGCAAAUUUAUAAUUUAUAAAAUUGAACAAUAAUUAUUUAGGGAAGUUAUGCUUGAUUUAUGUGAUUCACAAUGAAUGGUACCUUUCCUUUCGUAAUCAAUGUUGGAAAUUAACCCCAAAAUAAAAUUAAAAAAAUUAAAAAAUCGACGUAGAAAUCAAAGCCAAGAGGUAAGACACCGACGAAAUACGACGAGGACGCUUUCUUCGUAAGCUCGUGGAUGGAUGAGGGGAAUAUUUUGAGGAAUCUUUAUAUAUAAUUGAGAGAAUAUAAUUAUAAUUAUACACUCAUCGUCAUCGAAAAACAUCCAAAAUAGAAAAAUAAGAUAUAAAAUUGGUUUUCUUGAUGAAGAUGCAUGUUCAUAGGCUAACCUCGAAGACAGAAAUGAGCUGUACUACUAACACUAAAUAUUUCCUAAAAACUGCGAACAUAAAAUUAACAAAAGACAGUAAAACAUUAAGUGAUGAAUUGCCUUAGUAUAGUUUAAACCAGUAAUAUCGAUUGUAAUAAAAAAAAAAAAACUAAUUAAGUGUUUUAGUGUGUUAAAUAUUCUAUACUAUGCAUCAUGGAGAGAUGGCAAAAUUAGGCACAAAAUUAAGAAAUUUCAAAACUAGACAGAAAAUUAAUGAACAUAGCGUUGAAGUAUGGGAUGCAGGCUUGCAGCUGAAUUGAAUUGAAGAAUUGGGCACAAAAUAAAGAAAACUCCAAAUUUUGAAAAGUCUUCUCUCUAUUAUUGAUGCAAUUCCCAACGUUCCCUCUUGUGAUUCAUGUUAGACUAAUGACUAGUGGUCACCAAAACAACACAUGUUAUGUGUGGGCAUCGUUUGACUUGGCAACUGGCAACCAAAAAUUAAAUCCAUUCCCCCAAAUGGGUUUCACAUAACAAGUUCGUUUUGAAAUUGUUUAAGGCUUUUGAUUGAUUAAUUUUGUGAAAGAAUAUACAUUUAGGCUUUUGACAUGACAUGAUAUAUUAAUUCCUUGAAUUUUGGAAGAGGAGAGGCUGAUUUAAACUCCAUGCUGGCCUGGCGGCUGGCCUCAAUGUCUGUCCGCUAUGUGCAAUGAUUUACUGGUAAAAUUAUAAUUAUAUAUAUUUCGAUAAUAACUAGAAUUAUAUGUAAAUUGUUCCAGGGGUGGACAUUAUUAAUUUAUUAUAUAUAUGCAGAUGCUUGCGUGCGGUAUAUAUAGAUGGACUAACCCUAGUUAGUACUUACCUUACCUAGUGGACUGGUACAAGCUAUGGAGGUCAUCUCUUCAAUUUUCAAUUUAUAUAUGAAAAAUUAUUAAUUUUAUUCCUUUAUGUAGAUUCUAGAGCUUUAGAGGUCUUAAUUAAAAGGUACAUAUUAACCGAAGGAUAAUAAGGCUCAGCGGAAGAAACAAUUAGCCAGGCAGGCCGGCAGGCAGGCAGGUAAUACAAGUUGACAUCUCGUAGUAGCAAAACAAUCAGGGAAUUAAGACUCGAGGCGGAGUUUGCCGAAUUAUAUCCAUCCGACAGUCCGACUCCAAAAGCAAGCGAGCGAGAGAGAGAGGGAAGUAAGAAUGAGCAAAUUAUCGGCAGAUGAAGCAGCUGGAAAUUAUGUUAGCGAGAAUGAUAUGAUGAAAUUGCCAAUAUCAUCAUCACCAUCGUCACCAUCAUCCAACGGUGGAAAAGGAUCAUCAGGCUGCAGUAACCGAGCGUUGGUGGUGAAGAGGAUUCUAAGGGCGACGUUGCUGUUUGUGGCAGCCACUGUGGGUUGCUUUAUCAUCUCCGGAUUUCUGCUCGGAUCCUAUUAUGACAACGGUUUGUCUUCUCAUCAGGCCAGUACUCUCUCUCUCUCUCUCUCUCUCUCUCUCAUGUUCUAUUUUGCGUUCAUCCGAAGGCUUGUUAUUUUAGUUCAUAAUUAAUGCCGGCAUAUUCCAACAGCAGCAUGUUUUAUUUAUUAGUUUUUCUGAUAACGUUCGAUUACAGAUAUAAAAAAUCAAAGUGGUGGUAAUUACUUGUAGACUCUUGGAGCAAAUUAGGUAAAACAAUAUAUUUUUGUUGUAUGCUAGCUAAUCUGAAAUCAAUAUAUACAUAAUUAUAAAGGAUUUGGCACUCAGAUAAUUAUGUUUAUCGAUAUAUGUUUCAUAAUCUUCAAUGGCGAAGAGAGAGAGAGAAGUCAAUUUGCGUUUCUGGAAUUCUAAUAAUACUUGUCCAAAUAGUAGACUUUUUGUUUCUGUUUGCUCACAUUAAUCAAAGUUUUAAGAUCAUUACCUUUCGCUCUACGCAUCGAUCCAUGCCAAUUUUUGUUUUCUCAACCAAUUUAAUUCGGAUUUUACCCAUAUUUUAUAAUUAGCUAUCUCUCUUUGUAUAUACUACUUUUCUUUUUUAUCCUGUAAUUGUGGAUGCUACAUGACUCAAAAACGGGUUAAUGCUUUUACACAUGUAAUGGCUGUCCUUGUCGUGUGUACUGGCACACUUACUCCCCUCCGGGUCGGGGCCCAAUGAAAAAUCUUGGGUCAAGUUGCCGUACCACCGGGUAUGCUCGACCGUUCUCACAUGGUUAUGAAAACCUGUAUAAUUUUAUCUCACCUAACCUGAUUGAUCUCAUAUGUGUUUGAGUUGCUCUGUACGAAAAACCUUAUCGGACAAUCCCUCAGGCGUAGGGGUUGGGGUUAUGCAAUGCCAUUACAUAGACCAAUAAUUUGAUUUGAUCUUUGAUGAUACAGACCACUCUAGAAUAUACAUUGGAUACAGUUCUCAGAAAUGCAUCUAUGAAGGACAAAACAAUUAUACUAACUACCCUAAAUGAUGCAUGGGCUGAACCCAAUUCAAUAUUCGAUCUCUUUUUAGAGAGUUUCGAGAUUGGAAGUAACACAAAAUGGUUGCUUAAGCAUUUGGUAGUCAUAUGCUUGGACAGAAAAGCAUAUGCCCGUUGCUUGGCGUCACACCCUCAUUGCUACCAACUCUACACUCAAGGUGCCAACUUCACCAGCGAGGCUACUUUUAUGUCUUCCGAGUACCUGGACAUGAUGUGGAGACGAAUCCGACUUUUGUCUUCUAUUCUCGACAGCGGUUACAACUUUGUCUUUACGGUAAUUCCCUUAAUCCAAUAUUCCUAAUUUUCCAUUGUCCUUCACUACUAUUCUACCUAUAUAUGUAUCCAACUUUUACUUAACUUUUUUUUUUCUUUCCAAUAUUGGAUGCACAGGAUACUGAUAUAAUGUGGCUAAGAGAUCCAUUCCCACAAUUCUACUCAAAUGCAGAUUUUCAAAUUGCAUGUGACUUCUUCAACGGUGAUUCUUACAGCGUAAAUAAUUUUCCCAAUGGAGGGUUUACCUAUGUAAAAUCAAACCACCGCACGAUUAAAUUUUAUAAGUUUUGGUACUUCUCCAGAAAGGCGUAUCCAAAGAAGCAUGACCAAGACGUUCUCAACAAGAUCAAAUUUGAUCGCUUCCUCACCCAAAUUGGAUUGAAAAUGAGGUUCUUGGAUACACUAUACUUUGGUGGGUUCUGCCAGGCUAGUAAGGACUUCAACCAAGUAUGCACAAUGCAUGCCAAUUGUUGUGUUGGUCUCGAAAACAAAGUCAAUGAUCUUAAAAUUUUGCUACAAGUUUGGAGAAAGUACAUGUCCUUACCUCCUAAUACAACUGCCAAGCCACAACUUUCAUGGACCGUUCCACAAAAUUGCAGGUAUAUAUAAUAUAUUAUCGAUCAUAUUGAGUUGGGACUUGUUCUUAUUUUAUUUGUCUAGGUGAUUUUCACUAUUUUUUAGUUUUUUAUACAUUCUUAUUUAAUCUGAUUAUUAGUUUCGUUUGAUUUAUUCAAUCUGAUGACCAUAAAUAAAGAGAGUGUAUGAGAAAUUAGAAAAAGUGUGUGAAAAUUACUUUCCCCUUAUUUAAAAUUGUUUGACUUUUUGAAUUGUUAUUUUUUGGGAAGCUUUACCUAUGUAGACAAAAACACAAGAUAAAUUUCAUAAAAUUUCGCUAAUUUUGAAUCAUUUUAAAGAAAGACGAAUGUUCAAAUCCCAACAAACCUAAUAAAAGAAAAAAAGCAAACUAUAAUUUAAAAUUUCAGUCUUGUUUGUUACCUCACCAAGCUAAAACUACAAACUGAAAUCAUCUAUAAAAACUUCAAAUUGGUUUUGAAUGUAUGUGUAGUUGUCUCUAUUUCUUUUGUUUGGGUAAAUACGACUGGUCAUCGUAUGUUGAGUUUUUUAUCCAAAACAUUUUCUAGAACUUGUUCCGCAUUGGUGCAGCAGUCGCAUCGUAUGUGGGUUCCCGGCCGUCUGAUGGGUCCCGCCGAUGAUGAAAUUGAGGGAAAUAAAUUUUUACUAUUCUUAAACAUUUUCUUCUAGAUUUACGUGGUUUGACUUUUUUUUUAUAUUUGUUUCUUCUAGAAGUAUACGAUUUGUCGUUUAAAAUAUUGAACCUUUUUUCUUCGACUUUGUUAUUGGCUUGAAGCACUUCCUUCCAACGCCUUGGAAAGCACUCGUGACAGGAGGAGAAGGGAAAGGAAAUUGCACAAAAUUCAUCGCAAUUGGUAAAUCGUAUAUGUAUAUGUGUACAUAUAUAUGUAUUUAAUUAAAUGAUGACUUUGGAUGCAGUUCUUAUUUAUCAACGUUCUUUAAUUGAAACUUUGUUAAUUUUUAGUUUUUGAUUGGAGUCCCUGAAAUGAAUACAAUAUUGCAUUUCUAUGUAAGUUAUUAUAAUUUUAAAUUAAAUUUGAUAUUUGUAAUUACUUAUAUUAAUGAGAUUUUAAAUAAAAUCCAUGAUUUGAUGGGUCGAAAAUAUUAAAAAAUAAAUUAUACUUAUAUAAAAAUGUAUAAUUUAUCUUAAUGACAUUGUAACAUCCCACAUCGCCCAGGAGAGUAAUCCUUAAAUGUAUAUUCGCAUCCCUACCUAGCACGAGGUCUUUUGGGAGCUCACUGGCUUCGGGUUCCGUAGGAACUUCGAAGUUAAGCGAAAAUGAGGCCAGAGCACUCUCAGGAUGUGUGACCCACUGGAAAGUUGCUCGUGAGUUCCCAAAAACAAAACCGGGAGGGAACGGUAAGUCCAAAGCUAACAAUAUCGUGCUACGGUGGUGGAACGGGCCCGGGAUACGAUGGACCCGGGUCGAGAUGUGACAAAUGGUAUCAAAGCCAAUCCCUGGCCGGAAGUGUGCCGACGAGGACAUCGGGGACCUAAGGGGGGUGGAUUGUAACAUUCCACAUCGCCCAGGGAGUAAUCCUUAAAUGUAUAUUUUCAUCCCUACCUAGCACGAGGCUUUUUGGGAGCUCACUAGCUUCGAGUUUCGUAGGAACUCCGAAGUUAAGUGAGAAUGAGGCCAGAGCACUCCCAGGAUGGGUGACCCACUGAGAAAUUGCUCGUGAGUUCCAAAAAACAAAACCGUGAGGGAAUGGUAAGCCCAAAGCGGACAAUAUCGUGCUAUGGUGGUGGAACGGGCCCGAGAUGUGGUGGCCCCAGGCCGGGAUGUGACAGACAUGAUUUGUCAUUAAGAUAUAUUAUAUUUAAAUAAAACUCAUUAUUUGCCAUUACUUAUAUUAAUGACAUUUUACAUAUAAAAAAUGGUAAUUUUUAUGCUAUACAAUUUACAUACAAAAAGUUGAUACAUUUUAUACAAAACAGGUGGUAUGUUUUAGAUGAAAAAAUUGGUACAUAUUAAUAUAUUAUAUACAAAAUAAUGGGUACAUUUUAGAGUAAAAAUAUAAAUACAUCUUACAUUAAAAAAUGGAUACAUUUUACAUAAAAAAUGGAACUUACAAAAACAAAAUUGGUAUAUUUUACAUAUAACAAAGUGGAACAUUUUUAAAGACAAAUGAGGACAUUAUCAAUAAAUUAUUGGUACAAAAAAAAUGUUAAAAAAAUGUGUAAAAAUAAAAGUUUGAAAAAUAUGGACACAAAAAGAAAUUAAUAUAUGGGUACAAACUAUAACUGAAAAGAAAAUUGGUACAAUUUAAAAAAAAGGGUUGCAAAUUAAAUUGGGUACAAACUAAACAUAAAAAUAUAUGAUACAAAAUUUAGCCAUAAGUAUAUAUAUAUAUACAAUAUCAAAUGUAACGUUUCUAACACUAAAUGAAUAUAUUUAGAAAUAAAAUUUAAUUAUUUUGCAUGUAAAAUAUUUAAUUAUGGAAACAAUUAAUGAUGUUUAUUAAAACCAAGGGACUUUGAUCAAAGGUUAAAAAUGAAUAAGAUUUUAAUCAAUGGAGUUGAAAAAAUAUGGAUAUAAACCUAAUUUCUCCUUAAUUAAAUUGGCCUCCAUACAUAUCUAACAUGUAUACAAGAUUAGCUGGAAAACACAUGUACAAUAUUGCAUUGUUUAUGACUUUUCCAAAUUGAAAAAUGAUUUAAGAAGAAUGGAUCUGACGUUUUGUAUUUUAUGUUGUUAUUUCAGGUAGGGGGCGAUGGAAAUGGUACCUUGGUGAUCAAUUAUCAUGUCAUCUUAAUAUAAAAUUGUUCAAUACAAAACUGACUCAUUUGCCCUUUGCACUCCUCUUUCAUUUUCUUACCUUUUUAUUAUUAUUAUUAUUAUUACUAUUCAUUUUUUUGUCAGGGUUUUUAUUUUUAAUUUUGUGGGUAGAGGAAACAAUGAAAUGUAGAGAAAAGAAUUUUACAAAAAAAAAAAAAAAAAGCUUUUUAGUCAAAAUUGUCUCUGAGAUUUGCAUAACACAUCACUUUGGUCCCUGAAAUUGUCCACCAUCUAUUAUUUUGGUCAUUCCGUUAAAAACUCUGUUAAGUGUCCCGAAGCUCUUGACUGGAAGUUUGGGCAAUUUUCAAAAUUUCGUAAUUCAAUCGUUUCUUACCCAAAUUCGACCCAUAAUAUAUCUAAAUGAAGAUAGGAAAGUGUAGAACACGAUUAUACCUAUUUUGAAGCCCAAUGGUUGCCGGAGAUGGCCGAAAAAUAGCCUAAAAGGUGACUGGUCCGCGGAAAAUUUGAAAAACUCGCCGGAAACUAGGUAAACUUUAAACGUUCAUAACUUCUUCAAUACUCAAUGAAAUCGAAUGAUUCGAAAAUGAAAAUCAUACUUCUCAACGGGAAAAAGAGAAUGGUACCUUUCUAGACAGCUAAUUCAUCGUUGUUUGGCCAAAAAAGUCUCGAAAGUGGUUGUCUUGGUCUCGAAUUGGCCACUUUCGAGCCGUUUUUCUACCAAACUACGGCGAGUUAGCCAUCAAGAAAGGUACCAUUCUCUUUGUCUCGUCUAGAAGUAUGAUUUUCGUUUUUUAAUCACUCGAUUUCGUUGAGUAUUGAAGAAGUUAUGAACGUUUAAAGUUUACCCAGUUUCCGGCUAGUUUUUCAGUUUUUCCCCAGAUUAGUCACCUUUUAGGCUAUUUUCCGGCCAUCUCCGGCAACCAUUGUGCUUCCAAAUAGGUAUAAUCUUGUUCUACACUUUCCUAUCUUCAUUUUGAUAUAUUAUAGGUUGAAUUUGAUAAGAAACGAUUGAGUUACGAAGCUUUGAAAAUUGUAUAAACUUCCAGCCAAGAGCUCAGAAACACUUAACGGAGUUUUUAAUGAAAUGACCAAAAUAAUGGAUGGUGGAUAAUCUCAGGGACCAUUUCUAUUGAUUUUCAAUCUCAGUGACUAAAGUGAUGUGUUAUGCAAAUCUCAGGAAUUAUUUUAGUUAAAAAACCAAAAAAAAUAUGUAGAGAAAAGGAUUACAUCACACAUCCCUGUUUAUAGUACUUGUUUUAUACAAGGGUCAUGAUUUCCAGUUGUACAACAAAAUCAUAACGAUACGCAACUUCCUUCCUCCCAUAUGGCCAUGCAUGAACACCAAAGGCCACACAAGUACACAUAUCAUCUUACAUUAUCAAAAAGGAAAAGUAAAAAAACGAUGUUUGAUAACCAUUUAGUUCAAUUUUUUUUAUAGUUUUUUUUUAAUUACUAAUAGAGAGAAAAUAAGAGGGAUAAGGAAGAAUGGAUGAAGGAUGAUGGGUGGUGGAAAAAUCCCAAAUUUUGAUACGAUCAAGCUAAGUGACUCACGAACGUCCUCCAACCGGAAUUACUCCAAAAUUCGUCCAUUUGGUCUUGUUUUGCUCCAAAGAAAGUCGAAAGUCCUAUAUUGAAAAUACAAUUUAAAGUAUCAAAAUUCUUUCAAAGUAUUAACCAAAAUAUACUAAAAAUAGGGUAAAAUAUAUAAUAUAAAAUAUACUCAUCAAUAGGAGAGACGUAGAAGAUAUUUACAACAAAAAGCACACAAAAUGAAAAUUACAAAUUAUUUAGAGCCCGUCUGGUAACUAUUUGAACUAAGAAAUUGGGACUUGCGUAAUGCUAUUGCCUGCUCCAUCUUGUAACCUGCAACUUGAAAUGUAAAAAAUAAUAUCCCUAUAUAUCCGAAAGUCCAAUGCCCGAGUUGUCUACGGAUUCAAUCUCGGACUUUGACGCUGUACUAAUACUAUUUUAGAGUAGAGGCCAUUAUAUUAAUACUAUUGUGCGUAAUGACUAGUCUAGUUAGCCUUCCUGCUAUUCGCAGCAAGCUUACACAUGAUUCUUGAUUUUAGAAAAAAUCCAUAUAAAUUAAAUACUACACUUAUAUAUAUAUAUAUAUGUAUGUAUGUAUGUAUAUAUAUGUAUAUGUAUAUAUAUAGGUAAGGGACCAAGUCUAACGCAGUUUGGCAUAUCUAUUACCAACCCAGUUAUCCAAUAGAUGAAGAAGUUAAUAAGUUUGAAGAAGCAUCAAGAAUGAGAAACUGUCGCCAGUUUGGCAUAUAUAUAUAUAGGAAGAUGACUAAUGUACGGACGACGCUGGUGUUUAUGGCGGCAGCAGCUGUCGCCGGUUGCUUUAUCGCCUACAAUUUUGUGUAUCCUCCUGGAUUUCUUUAUGAUGGCUUGGCACCACGCCUCCCCUCCUGCAGAAACACAAUCCCUCCACCUCAGCAGGCGAGUACACUAGUCCUCUUAUUCAUUACUUAUCUCUCACUAAUUAAUCCCUUUUGCUUUCUACUCCACAAAUCAACUUAUGGGUUCAUUAGACGGAUGUUAUUGCAAUUUUUAUUUCCUAGUUGUGUCAGUAAACUUUAUUAAUACCUAUAAUGAUGAAAUCUUAAAUUUGAUCUAGUUUCUUUCGGUUUUUUUUCAAGCAUUUAAAAUACUAUGAUCUAAUGUUAUUUAUUUUCACUUGUAAAUGAGAGAUCUAAAGUACGAAUCUAGUAGAUGACGAAUUUGAUACCAAAAUGGUUAAUUAUAUGAUUUAACCGAACUCUCAAUCCGUGUAAAAUGUAUCAUUUUACUAAAAAAACAAAAAUUCAAUUCGUAGGUACAUUAUGCUUUAGUAAUUGUUUAGUCAACACACAGUUCAAAAUUUCAUUUUUAUAGACUAUACGUACAUAUAUAUGUUCUUUUUUUAUUUAUUAAAUAUAUAAAUAUAUUCCUUAUGAAAAAUAAAAUAAAAAUGUAUUUCAAAUUGGUAUUUUAAUCUUCAUGCAAGUGGCUCUUUAUCACAAUGGUAGAAAGGUGUUGAAUUUUUUCAUAACGACAUGAGUUCAAAUUUCGUUGGUGGCUAAUCUAACAUAUAAUUUAACAAAAUCUACCGUUUGACAAAAAAAAAUCUUCAUAAAAAUAAUUUGUCUAUAUUUUUUUUAACCAAGUGACAUAUGACAUCCUUUAUUUUCAAAGAGAGAGGAUCCUCCAAUCACAUUUGUUCAUCGAACAUCAUGCGGUCAGUUUUCGUCAUGUACUGUUUAUAUUCAAUUUUAAAUUAAAAAAUAAUUUCUAACAUCUUAAUGUACGAUGAAUGGAUGUGAUUUGAGAAUCACCGAGAUCCUUACAAACAGGAUCUUGCGAGGAUCCUCACUCAUUUUCAAAUAGAUACAUAAAUUCCCUAUAUCUAUGUGAAAUAUAGGUAAAUUAAAUAUUGAACUAAAUGACAUAUUUUAUGUUGUAGGUAAAUUAUUUUACAUAUAUUAUUACAUACAUUAGGCACAUUUUAUUGUUAUUAUAUAUGUGUGGUAAAAUAAUUUACCUUUAGUUCUGAAAAAAUGCAGGGCAACCAACUGGAGGAUAAUAUGGAUCCAUUGGAUAAAAUUCUGAAAAAUGCAUGCAUGAAGAACAAAACAGUUAUAAUAACUACGUUAAAUGAUGCAUGGGCAGAACCCAAUUCAAUAUUUGAUCUCUUUCUUGAAAGCUUUAACAUCGGAAGUAACACGAAAUGGCUGCUCAAGCAUUUGCUAGUCAUCUGCGUGGACCAAACAGCAUAUGCUCGUUGUUUAGUGAUACACCCUCAUUGUUACCUACUUUAUACUCAAGGUGCCAACUUUACCGGCGAGGUAUUUUAUCUAACCCCCGAUUACUUACAAAUGAUGUGGAGAAGAACCCAGAUUUUGUCUUCCAUUCUCGACAAAGGCUACAACUUUAUCUUUACGGUAUUUUUCUUAGUCCUUAAUUUCUUCCAAUUUUUGCUUACUUUUCCAUGCAUGAACUAUUUAGUGAAAUUAAUGAACAGGAUACCGAUAUAAUGUGGCUUCGAGAUCCAUUCCCACAAUUCUAUCCCGAUGCAGAUUUUCAAAUUGCAGCUGAUAAAUUCAUGGGUGAUUCUUAUAGUUUUAAAAAUGCUCCCAAUUGUGGAUUUGUCAAUGUAAAAUCCAAUGAUCGGACUAUUGGGUUUUACAAAUUUUGGUACCUCUCCAAAUACACGUAUCCAAAAACGAAUGAACAAGAAGUGCUUAAUAGGAUUAAAUUUGAUCCUUUCAUUGGCAAGAUUGGAUUGAAAGUGAGAUUCUUGGAUACAAAAUACUUUGGUGGAUUCUGUGAGCCAAGUGAGGACCUUAACCAAGUUUGCACAAUGCAUGCUAAUUGUUGUAUUGGUCUUGAAAACAAAGUGAACGAUCUUAGAGCUUUGCUUCAAGUUUGGAAAAAAUACAUGUCAUCGCCUCAUAAUGCUACUGGCACAUCACAAGCUGUGUGGACCGUCCCACAAAAUUGCAGGUAAAUUUUUUAUCCAUCGGUUAUGAAUCUUCUGUUAGCCCAUUUCUCAUGCCAACAGUUUUUAUAUCUUUUUUAGUAUAUUGACCCCUUUGAGUAUCUGAUUGACUUGAAGCACUUCCUUCCAACGCCGUUGGAAGCAUAGUAACCAGACUAGGGAGUGAAACUAUAAAAAGAUUAUUCCAAUCUGUGGAGCUUUCUAAACAUUUAAUUGCAGGUAAAUCUUAUACAAUGUUACGUUGAUGACCAAAUAUUUUUGAAACUUGAUACGAAAAUCAUCCCAUGCAUGCAUGAAUCUAACGCUUAUAGUUCUACUUUUUCAUGUAUAUACUUCAGGUAGAAGAAAAAGAGGCUUAAAUUCAACGAUGAAAAUUCCUCCCUGGCAAUCAAAUAUAUUUCAUCUUGCUCGUGAAAUACUAUUACAAAACUUAUAUCUUGCUCGUUACAUUAUUACAAAACUUAUUUUGCAACUGUUUUGCUUUUUCCAAGUUAUCUAAAGUGAAUUAGUGAAAGGAAUAUGCCACCAUUAAUUUAUGGAUUACCUUUGCGUAAUGUCUAUUUCAACUUCAAAUAGUAUGCAACUUUGAAAUGUACAAAUCAAAAGGGAUGGAUACCUAAUGUAGAAGUCCAAUUUUUUCACAAAUAUUAUCCACCAGAAGCGUAGUUUAGAUUAAUAAAAUGAAAUAGAUUAGUAACACCGAUGCGGUACAAUUUUCACACUUUUUUUCCUCACACUUUAUACUGAGAGAAAUUCUUAAAUAGGUGGAGUUAAACUAUGACAAUUCUUAAACGGAUGAGAUCACAGGAAUGUAGAAAUCCACCGUCCUAGAGUUGUUGGCGAUGUUCUGUCAACCAAUCAAAAUUCUAUAUGAGAUAAUGGACCUUUGAAAAUUUAUGAAGAAAGUUAAGAGUAAACAUUUUUCUAGCAUGAUUAAAAACAUUGAUUGUAUGCCUUGGCAAUAGAUAAUUUGUCAAAGUCUUGGCAAGAAGAUUACGAAAAUAAAAAUAGGUACAAAAUCUAUCAUUUUGAAGGCGGUGGCUUAAUUUGAUACAAAAAAACUAUAUUAAGUUGUUUUCACUUUUAAGAUUUUGUUUUCAAUAAUCAUUUCUUUUCCCUUUCCCGCUCUUCCAUCCCCAUUUUUCAUCCAUUCUUCUUCUUUCCUUUAUAUACUCUUCUAUCUGAAGCACAAACCUUGAAACCCAAACCUAAAAAAAAUUGACACUACGAAAAUGGGACUUUCGUAAUGUCUACUUCGACUUCGAACCUGCAACUUGAAAUGUACAAAUUAGAGUUUCCUAUCCGAAAAUUCAAUGCCACAAUUGUCUGCCAAUCAAAUCUCGCAGUUUCGACGCAACCCACUAAAAACAAAAUUGCUGCUGCAGUCGGUUCUGACCUAACCAAACGGUAAAUGACUACUCUAGUUAGCUUAGGCCAUCUCCAACCGAUCCGGUCAGAGGGUCAUAGGGCUAAAAAUAGUCUGAAAUGACAUGAAAACUGUCUCCAAUCGAGGGCUAGGCCAAAGGGUCUGUGGGCCCCACCGGGCCAAAAAUACCAAAUCAGGCAAAUCGGCUGGCCCAAAUGCCAGCCAGCCAACCUCGGGUCAUUUGAAUUAAUUUUUUUUUUCCGGAUAAAUUUUUUUAAAAAAGCAAUAAAAAAUUCCAAAUUUUUUCCUAUAAAUACCUAAGCUAUUCCUACAUCAUUUCUCACAUAAUUUUCAUCAUUCCAUACUAUCUUACUUCAUUCUAUUUCAAUUUUUUACAUUCUAUUCUCUUACCACUUCCAAUAAUCUUUCCUUCAAUUUUUUCAAUAAUUUUCAAAUGACCACAUCUGCAAUGAAAGGUGGGGCUUGGACCGAAAAAGAAGAUGAAGCUCUUUGCAUGACUUAUAGAUGGGUCUCGGAAGAUAGUGUGAGGGGGAGUUCUCGAACAAGUGAAGGUGUUUGGACUCGUACAUUCAAAAAAUACUAUGAGUUCUACGAAGGCACCACUCCACCGAAUUCCCGAAACUACGAGAGUUGUUAUUUAAGAUGGAAGAAACAUUUUCAUCCAAGUUUGAAUAAAUGGCAUCAAGCAGUGUUAAAGGCCGCAAGCAGACAUGAAAGCGGAGCCAAUUACUACAACGAAGUAAGCGUUUUCACAACUUAUUUUAAAUAUUUAAUUAUAUUACAUUUAAUUUCAUAAAUUAAUUUCCUUUAAUUUUUGUAAUUAUAUUUUCUAAGUACACCAAGCGGAGGAUUUUUAUAUGGAGGACAACUCUAAACCUUUUAGUCAUCACGGUUGUUGGGAAAUUUGUAAUGGGUGGGUGUUAUUUGAAGAUCCACCUCAACAAAGAAUUGGUCCUAUGCCGGUGUUCGAAAAUGCAUCCUCAAAUGCAGAUGGGGAUAAAGAUGGAUCUCCUACCAUUCAAGAAAUAAGGGUUGAAAAUCCGUCUCUGGGUGAAGGUUCCAUACCUAGGGCUAGGGGAUGAAACAAGGCUCGAAAAUUGAAGGAAAAUGGCAAGGCAAAUGAUGAUUACCCUUUCAACAGGAAAUGGCGGUCUCAUUGCGAUUAAUGGCAAAGCAAAAUGUCAUUGCCGCAGAAGAUGGGAACCGUAGGCACGAAGAACGAGCCAAACAAAUACAAGAAGAGAUGGAUGAUAGGAAUAUGCAAAUGAACACUUCGGAUUACACUCUAAUGAGUAAGGCUUAUUUUGAUAGAAAAAAGGGAAAUUAUGGCCCGACGGGAGUUGUUUACAUCCUACUAUACUCCUACAAUGGCAGAUGAUGAUGAUGAUGAUGAUGAUUAUAGUCUUUAAAUUUAAGUUGUUGUAGUCUUUAAUAUUUAAGUUGUAAUAUUUAAAUUAAAAUAAUAAAUUAUGUUUAGCCUAUGAUCCUUUGGCCCCCUCGGUUGGAGAUAAUUUUUUGUCACAGGGCUAUGUUUGGCCUAUGACCCUUUGGCCCCCUUGGUUGGAGAUGGUAAGAAAUAUGACAUAGUAUUGUUCAUUAAAAUAUUAAUUUUUUUUUUAGGGCUAUAGGGCUAAAGGAAGCCCUCUGACCCUCCUUAGGUUGGUGAUAGCCUUAGUUUAGCUAGCUAGCUGUGAAAAGCAGGAAAGCCAAGAUGUGGUGUGUGUGUGUGUGUGUGUGUGUUUGCCAAAUUGCAACCCAAUUAUCCAAGAGAAAACAAGAAGUGAAUUUGUAAUUGAAAAAGCAUCAAGAAUGAGGAACUCGGUGGUUUUCGAUGUUACUGAGAAGAGGAUUAAUAUGUGGACGACACUGGUUUUUAUGGCUGCCGCAGCUGUUACCGGUUGCUUUAUUGGCUACAAUUUUGUGUAUCCUCCUGGAUCUCGUUAUGAUGCCUUGGCAGUGACACCACACCUCCCCUCCUGCAGAACCACAACCCCUCCCUCUCAGCAGGCGAGUACAGUAGUCCGCUUAAUUAAUUACUAAUUAGUUCUCUCUCACGGAUUAACCCAUUUUACUUUCUACUCUACAAACACAAAUAAAUUGAUUACUUUAGUACCUAAGUACGUACGUACACAUAACACAUGCAUGCAUGGUUACCGGUGCACGCAGGGCAAGCAGCUGGAGGAGAAGGAUCCUUUGGAUAAAGUUCUGAAAAAUGCAUGCAUGAAGGACAAAGCUAUUAUAACAUUUGAGUUGAAUGGUGCAUGCAUGGGAAGAACCCAAUUCAAUAUUAGAACUAUUUCUAGAGAGUUUCGAGAUCGGAAGUAAAACGAAAUGGCUGCUCAUACAUUUUGUAGUCAUCUGCUUGGACGAAAAAGCAUAUGCUCGUUGCCUAGCGUUGCUCCCUCAUUGUUAUCAACUCAAAACUCAAGGUGCCAACUUUACCCACGAGGCAGUUUUUACGUCUUCAAACUACUUACAGAUAACGUGGGGAAAAGUCCAGUCUAUAUCUCUUAUUCUCGAGAAAGGCUAUAGCUUUGUCAUUACGGUAAGAGUAAAUUGUAGUAAUAGUCUCUCAACUAAAAAUUCAUUACCAUUGGUCCCUCAUUUUAUCAAAACGUGCGGCUAUGGUCCCUCAACUAAAAAUCAAUUAUCAAUAGUCCCUCAACUUUAAUCCAAUUAGAGAAAUUGUCCCUCAACUUUAACCCAAUUAGAGAAAUGAUCCCUUAACUUUAACCCAAUUGUAGCAAUGGUCCUUCCAAAAUAACUCAUUUUGACAAAAUUCCAACAAAGUUAACGACAAUGACCAUAGCUACACGUUUUGAUGAGUUAAUGGACCAAUAGUAAUAGAUUUUUAGUUGAAUGACCAUUGCUACAAUGUACUCUUACAGUAAUUCCUAUUCAAUUUUUGCUUACUUUCCCAAAACUUACAAUAUCAAGAAAGGAAAAAAAAAAGUUAGCUGCCAAUUUAUUUUAACUGUUGUUGAUUUUGUUGCAUGCAUGUGAUAUUGGAAUGUACAGGAUAAUGAUAUAAUGUGGCUUCGAAAUCCAUUCUCACAAUUCAAUCCAGAGAUACCGAUCUUCAAAUUUCUUGUGAUAACUUCACAGGUGAUUCUUACAGUGAGAAAAUUUCACCCAACACUGGAUUUUCCUAUGCAAAAUCCAAUGAUCGGACUAUUCUAUUUUAUAAGUUUUGGUACUUUUCCAGAAACACGUAUCCAAGAAAACACGAACAAGAUGUACAAAAUGGGAUUAAAUCUGAUCCCUUUGUUGCUGAGAUUGGACUGAAAAUGAGGUUUUUUGAUACACUAUACUUUGGUGGCUUUUGUCAACCCAGUAAGAAUUUUAAUCAAGUUUGCACGAUGCAUGCUAAUUGUUGUGUUGGUCUCGAUAACAAAGUCAAUGAUCUUAAAUUUUGCUGCAAGUAUGGAGAAAUUACAUGUCAAUUCCUCGCAUGGAGAAAUUACAUGUCAUCGCCUCGCAAAACCAAUGAUACAUUACAUGUUUUAUGGACCGUCCCACAAAAUUGCAGGUAUAUAUUUAUCAAUUGCUUGUAAGUCUUCUUUCAUUUAAUUUUUAAGCAUUCGCUUUUUUGUUUUGUUCUUUACACAAGCAAGGUGGAUUCGAACUUUAUAACUCGGGUUUAAGAAAUGAUAUUCUUAACCAACAAAUCAAUAAACCCCUUGCUAAGCAUACGGAAUAUUUUUUUUAAAUGUAGCUUCUGGUCAUAUGUUAAACCCUAUUUCUUAUGCAAACAUUUCGCAUGUCGCCCUUAACAGGUUUUUUUUCCUUCCUAUUUCUUUUGGAACUUUAUAUACGGUCUGUUGUUUUGUAUUGACCCCUUUGACCUUCUAAUUGAUUGAAGCACUUCUUUCCAACGCCUUUGGAAGCAUUAGUGAUCACUGGAGAAGGGAUGCAACAUCUGAUCACAUUGUAUAUCUUAUAACGUAUUCAAGAUCAGUGCGUAAACACUUUUACAAUGUUACAUUGCUUUAUUUAAUCAUAACGGUUUAAAAUGAAGUUUAUUUCUAAAGGAUCAUUAGAUAACCAUUUCGUUUUUCAGUUUUCAGUUUUUGUAACUUACGAAAUAGAUGAUGAUGAUGAUGAACAUGAACUAGUAUUUGAAAGUUAAGUUGAAAACCAUGGAUCUGAUUAUGACGUUUUCUACUUGUUACUCAAGGUAUUAAAUAUCGGUAAUAUCGGAAAUAUCGGUAGUCCGAAAAUACGGAAAUAUCGACGGAAAUAUCGAUAAAAUAUCGAUAUCGAUAAAAAUUACAUGGAAACCACGGAAAUUGUAAGAAAAACUUGGAAAUUUUUAUUGAAACUUUUGCAGGAUGUUUAUUUAGUCAAUUAUCUAUUAGUUUAUCACAAAAAAUUGGAAGGAAAUGCAUUGCAUGAUGGAUUUAACAUUAUCAAGUUGAUUAUAUAGCGAGCUGACAAACAUUGUGAGUGUAGAAAAUAUGUAGUAAUUAAUCAUUUAUAUAUGUAGUAAUUAAUGAAAGAAGUUUAAACACACCAUAAUCAUUUAUAUAUAAUGAAUUAGUACAAUAUUUUACACUUUAUAUAUUGCAUGGUAAGAUACAUGAGUGACUUAUUCUUAUAACGGGUACAUAUCAAUUUUUUUUUAUAAAAAUUAAUGGGUACAAACUUAUUCUUAUUUUAUUUUUUAUAUAUUUGAAAUGUUUGAAUUGAAAAUUAAUUAGGAGUUUAAUAAGGAUGUGAGUAUUAAAACUCUAAAAUAAAUUACUAAUUAUUGUUCAUAUGUGCUAGUUUGGUUUCCCUCGUUAGCCCACAAAUAAAUCGAAUGAUAAAAUGUAAAAAGAAUAUCCAACCAAUCUAAAAUUUAAAAAUACAUUAAGUCAUAUAACUUAAGAUAUUUUGAAUGGUUAUAUUUAACUUUUUAAAAUUAAAAGUAAAAAUCAUGGUUGGGUGGGUGGUUGAAAUUGAAACUUUGAAAAGGUGCAGCAUGCUUCCCCAUUUCAGCACCACGUGUGUGUGUGACCUCCCCUCCAUCCCGAUUCCCCAUCCUUCACAUCUAUCUUCUCUCUCAGUCCUCUCUUUCUCUCCACUUUCCCGGGCUCUCCCUUUCUCUGCUUCUCUCCCCUCAGUCUCUUCUUCUCUGCAAAACACGCACAGACCACACACGCACACACCACACACGCAGUCUCUCCUUCUCUCCCUCAGUCUCUCCGUCUCGUCGUCCCAUCCUUCUCCCUCAGCCUCGAUCUCGAUCCUUCUCUCCCUCAGUCUCUCCGUCCGUCUAUCCUUCUCCCUCAGCCUCGAUCUCGAUCCUUCUCCCUCAGUCUCUCCGUCCAUCCUUCUCCCCUCAGUCUCUCCAUCCUUCUUCUUCUCCCUCAGUCGUCUCUGGUGGUGCGCCGCUGAGCAAGGAGUUGGCCCAGUCAUCGAUAUUUCAGGUGAGAUUCCAUUGAAAACCCUAAGCCCUAAAACCGAUAUCACAUAUGUUGAAUCGUUGAUGCAUGCGUGAAAUUUUGGAGUAUAUAUUGUGAAAAUUUAAGUUAAAAAUUCGUGUUUUUGCAAGGUUUUUGGGACGAAAUGGGCUCGGGAACAGGCACACCAUCUCCGGCGUUCUUCUCCGGCGUCCGAUAUCGGAAUCCGAUUGCACCGUUCAACGAAAUAUCGCGAUAUUUCCAAAAUAUCGCGAUAUUAUCGAUAAUAUCGCGAUAUUUGGACGAAAACUACACGGAAACCAGUUUAAAUAUCCAUUACCCGAAAAAUCGAUAUUAUCGGCGAUAUUUCGCCGAUAAUAUCGAUAUUUAAAUCCAUGUUGUUACUUGAUGUAGAAGAAAAUGAGCACGAAGUUCAAUGAUGAAAAUGGCACCUCGGUCAGGGAAUCAAAUAUGUCAUCUUCCUCACAAAGCAGGAUUACAAAACUUAUUUUGUAGCUGUUUAUUUUUUAUUUUAUUUAUAUGAAAAUGAAAUACAAAGAAAGCCAGAUGUGCAAGUAUAUGUAAAGUGUAAUUAGUAUGUAAUAUUGUGUAUUUGUGAUACUUGUACAAUUUCCUGGUGCCUAGUUCAACUUCAGACCAACCAGUUUGAAAUGUAGAAAUCAAAAGAGCUCGAGAAUACAUAAUGCCCGUACAAUUGUGGUUUGCCCACGUAUAGGCUGGAAUGCCUGGAUCCGAUCCGUUGGAUUUGUGAUGGGCCGCCUCGGUUGUAUUAUUUUUGGGCCGGGCCUCGUGCGACAGAUUGAGGAGGGAAAAUAACUAUAAUCAGCAUGUGACAUGCACGUGUAUCCCAAAAAAAAGCUGUACUACAGUUGCAGGUGGAUGAUAGAUUUUUCAGUGUAACCAAGAGAUGAUACAUCAUGUAUCAUGUGUUCCUGUAUAAAUGAUAAGUUAUGUGUGUUAAAUGAUUAAUAACUUAAAAAUUAAAAAAUUUCAUCACUUGUAUAAAAACACGUGGUGUACCAUUCGUAUUCUCGUCGUAACUAAAAAUAUCUUCAGGGGGAGGAGAAGGCGGUGGUGGAAUUUUGCAUUGGGGAUUGCGUUCUGAAGAAUUUGAGAGAGGAAGAGUAGCCGAAGACAGAACCAAAUCAAAAUUUAUAAGGGUUAGGGGGGAAUAUGUCGGAUCCGCUCGAGAGACGAAAGGAGGCAGAUUGACCUUCAAAGGAGGCACCAGGCAGUGCUGGGGCGGUGGGGCCUCAGGAGUUCAUGUUAAUGUGGUUUCCCAGCUGCAUGCGGAGAUCUUGGCGGCAAGGCAUGCUGCGAAAAUUUUGGUGCAGAUCGUCAAUGGAGGACAAGACGUCGUGUUCGAAGGUGAUUCGAGCAUAACUAUAGCUGCUCUACAAAGGAAGGAAGAUGGUUUGUCCACCUUUGGGAGAUACUAGGAGCUUUCUCCCGGUAAUUGCGCAUAUUGAAAUGCGCCACAUUCGACGCGAAGCCAAUCAAGCAGCGCAUCGGCUUGCUCGUGCACGAAUUGGAAGACAUUGCGAUGUGUUAUGGUUUGAAGACCCUCCGGACUUGAUCUAGGACAUCCUAGUAGAAGAAAGACCCAGUUAAUUUUACUUCGAUCGUAAUAUUUGAGAUAGUUUACUAUACAUUGGUUGUGCCAUAUACUAUUACCGGAUUGAAAUUUCUAACAAGAUUUUUAUCAAGACCCAUCUAUGCACCUUAUCCUCAAUAUUGUAGGUUUUUAUUGCAACUUAAUGAAUAUCGUACUUUUUCUUAAAAAAAUUAUCUCAUAUUUUGAAAAAUAGACAUAUGUUGAGUUAUUAAUGAUAAGUGAUAAGGACAAUAUUGAGAUACACAAACAGAGUCAAAUUCUAUACUUGUCCACAUGAUGUCACCGACACUUAAUGCUAGUGACUUAGCAAAUGCAUAAUUCUCAAAAUGUUAGGUAUUUAUUAUUGUUUUUUUUUUUGGUCAAAUGAUAUAUUUGUUAAAUUAAAUGUUAGACUAGGGGGCUGAUCGGGUUCGAUCUCACACCGUAGUGUAAGGGCAACACUUCUCUCUAAUAUUGUAGUAGAUAACCACUUGCAAUGUUAGGUAUUUAUUUGAAAUGUUUUAAAAAGUUUAGAACAAUUUAAAAUUAUUCUUGUUAGGUAAUUAUUUGUACGCAACUAACACAAAUUUGUAGACCGGGCUUAACCAUGUUGUCUACAAUAAUGUAUACUCUCUCAUUUGAAUAAAAAAAUUGAAUCUGAUCUCCCCUUAGUAUAUAGCUUGUUUAGAACUGCUCUUAAAAUAACUGAAAUCACUUGUAGAAAAAAUAUUUUUGGGUUUCAAAAGCACUUAAAGUGCUUCCUGCAUUCUUGCAUGAAGCAAUGAAGUGAUUUUCUAGAAUUCAUUUGUCAUUUUACUAUGGAUUGAUUCCAAAAGCAUUUUUAUCAAAAACGUUGUUAACCAUUUUAAACGCUUUUAACCAUUUCAAAUGAGUCCAAUAUCACCGGUUUUGAAAAACAAAAAUAAAAAUAAAAAAUUAACACAAACCCCCCAAAUAUGAUCUAUUAAAGAAAGAAAUCAACUAUAGAUUGCCGCAUCAUGUAUUCUACAAAAUAUGUUCUAAAAAUAUGAUAGCUUUAGCAUUCUCUUUUGGUAAAUAGAUUAUGAAACGAGUGUUGAAGUUUAUUAAGUCAAUGAUCGAUCAAUCAAUCAUUAGAGUUUGGCCUAAGAAUAAUACAAUUGAACAAUAAUUAUUUAGGGAAAUAAAUUAUGCUUGAUUUAUGUGAUUAGCAAUGAAUGAUCCCUUUCGUAAUCAAUACAGGAAAUUAAUCCCAAAAUAAAAUUAAAAAAUCAAUGUAGGAAUCGAAGCCUCGAGGUAAGACAAGUAUAAUUAUAAUCAUACUUGAGAGAUAUUGAUAUAUAGUUGAGAGAGUGUUUUGGAGCAAUAUUGACAUAUAUUAUAUAAUAUAAUUGAGAGAAUAUAAUAAUAAUUAUACACUCAUCAUCAAGGACGGAGUUAGAAAUUUUUUUUUAUUGGGGGCGUCUUAAAACAACCAAGUAAAAUAAUGGGUUUUAGGUUAUUGAAGACCAAAUACAGUAAAAAAUCUCUAAAUUAGAAAGUUAAAUUCUAACUUGUAAUGCCACAAACAAAUGAAUGAAGUAAAUUCAUAUAAAAUACUUUGGAGUAAAAAUUUUGUAUUAAAUUAUGAUACUUCAUCAGUUGAAUCCAAUGUAUUUAUCAAAACCCCUAGUUCAAUUGAGUUUGAUUUAGGUUAGAAAACGUGGAAUAUUUGGAACCAAAAUCAAAAUUUUAAUUGUUGUUUUAAUUGUCAUGACAUUUUUGCUUUCCUCACCCAAAAAUCUGAAUGGGGGCGGAUGCCCUCCCUGGGCCUUAUGUAGCUCCGUCCAUGCUCAUCAUCAUCGAAAAUAUCCAAAAUAGGAGAAUAAGAUAUAAACUUGGUUUCCUUGAUGAAGUUGCAUGUUCAUAGGCGAACCUCAAAUAAAGAAAUGAGCUGUACUACUAACAUGAAAUAAUUCCGAAAAAAUGCGAAUAUAAAAUUAGCAUGAGAUAGUAAAAUAAGAAUGUUUACGUAAUUUUUUUGGUGUGUUAAAUAUUCUAUACUUGAAUAUGCAUCAUGGAGAAGAGAUGACAAAAUUAAUAAACAUAUAUAGCGUUGAAACGUCGGUUGCAGCCGGAUUGAAUAAAAUCAAGCAGAGAAAUAAGAAUACUCUUAAUUUUGAAAAGUCUUCUCUCCGAUUGAAUAUUGAUAAUAAUUCCCAACAUCAUCUUCAUCUCUCUUGUGAGUCAUGUUAGACUAGUUCCCAUCACCAGAAUAUACAUGUUCAGACGUUCUGGCUUGUGUCGGCAUCUUUUGACUUGGCAACUAACAAUAAAAAAUUAUAUCAAUUCCCCCAAUUAGGUUUAACAAGUUCAUUUUGAAAUUAUUUAAUGGCUUUGAUUGAUUAAUUUUGGGAAAGAAUAUUAUCAUUAAUUUUUUUUGAAAACGGUGCAAUAUUCAUUGAUAAGGUAAUAGACUACAUCCACUCAUUGAGGAUAUGAUGCAUACAAUGAAUCUCAAUAAAAAUCUGGCUAGAGAUUUCAAUCCAGUCAAUAAAACAAAAGAGUAUCCAUCACCAUAAAAGGAAUUAAUUAUACAUGACAUGAUAUAUUAAUUCCCUAGAAUUUGGAAGAGGAGAGGGCACACCAUUCUUGCCGUGGCCUGCCGACUGGCCUCACUAUCUGUCCGCUACGUGCAAUAAUUUAGUGGUUAAAAUUAAAAUUAUAUAUACAUAUUCGAUAACAAUUAGAAUUAUAUGUAAAUUUGUUCCAAGGUUGAACAUUUUAAUCUUAGUUUACUAUCCUAAAGUUUUGUGGUUUUUAACAUUUGUUACAUGAAGUUUUUUUUCAUCCAAAAGUCAUACCUCAAGUCUUAAUUUUGGGACAGUUUUGUAUAUCUGUUAAGUUUUCUAUUAGAACUUAUGUUAACUGAUGACGUGGUGCACACGUGGACAAUAACUGAGUGUCACGUGCUAAUAAUAAAUACAAAAAAAUACAAACAAACAAAAAAACCCAACCCGUCUUCUACCUCCCCCAACCCCUUCCCUUCCUUCAUCCUUUGCAACCCACACCCUCCCGCUCAGCAUUGCUCAGCCUCACUUCCGACUCCUACUCAUCUACGAUGUAAUCAAAGGAGCCGACAGAGUAGGAGUGCCGAUUGGAGGAAUUCGUCGUUGUCGUCUGGAACCCUACUCCUCCAUCGACGACGACCUCUUCGAUCGCCUCCCAGACUCCUUCCUCUUCCUUGUCUUCAACAAGAUCGGCGACGUCAAGGCCCUCGCCCGUUGCUCCAUCGUUCUCUAUGGCAGUGAACGACUCCCGAUGAUGUGGCAGUCAUUGGAUCCCACUUGUUCGACGACGGGACCCACUCGAACCUCUCGUCGCCUCUGUCCACGAGGUUCUCGUAUGUGCACAUGAAGUGAUCAAGUGGUGCUGCGCAUGACGGCGCGCUCGAAUCGUCGGCGAUGAGGACAAGUCGAUGGGAAAGGGUGUUCGGUAGGAAGAGAGAAAUGGCUUCAUUAUGGUGCAGGAGUACGGAGACGGUGUGGGUGUUGAUGUUGUUGAGGAUAGCACCGGACAUGGGCAUGGCAAAGUGGAGCUCGUACAUGACGAGGAUGUUUGGGGAAAAGGUGUACAUAGGAGAGAAAGGAUGUUUGGGGGAGAGGGAGCCCAUAAACGGGAAUUUUUUUUUAAUUUUUAAAAAUAUUUAUGUGGGCCCAUAAGACACGUAACGCUCAGUUAUUGUUCACGUGGGCUCCACGUCAUCAGUUAACAAAAGUUUUAACGGAAAAUUUAACAUAUGUAUGAAACUGUCACAAAAUUAAGACUUGAGGUAUAAUUCUGGGAUGAAAAAAACUUCAUGUACCAAAUGUUGAAAACCACGAAACUUCAUGGUAGUAAACUAAGAUUAACGCUUAAAUUAUUAUAUAUAUGUAGAGUGGUCUGCAUGGAUUAUGUGUAUAUAUAUAUAUAUAUGGGCUAACCCUAGUUAGUACUUACCUUACCCGGUGGACUAGAACAAGCUAGCUAGGGAGGUCAUCCCUUAAUUUUCAUUUUGUAUAUGAAAAAAUAUUAUUGUAUUCCUUUAUAUAUAUAUAUAUAUAUAUAUAUAUAUAUAUAUAUAUAUUGUAGAGCUUUAGAGGUUUUAAUUAAAAAUUAAGUAAAUAUUAACAGAAGGAUAAUAAGGCUCAAAGGGGAAGAAACAAUUAGCCAGGCAGGCAGGUAAUACAGGUUGACAUCUUGUACUGGUAAAAAAAAUCAGGGGUAUAAGAUUCGAGGUGGAGUUUGCCAAAUUAUAUCCAUCCGACUGCAAAACAUAUCAUAUAUUUGUUUAUAAAAAACAAAAAUUAUCAUAUAACAUUAUUUUCAACAAACGAUAUUAUCUACAUUAAAGGAGGUGAGAGAAGUGCGUUAAGUCUCACAAUAGGCUAGCAAUAAUAUAGUCUAAAUUCGUUUUGGCAAGAAUCGAACUUAAGACCUCUCGUUUACAAGUGAAGAAGAAUAUCACUAAACCGUAGUACUAAAUGACACAUCAUAUAACAUUAUUAAAAAAAUGUUUGAUAACCAUUUAGUUCGUUUUUUUAUUUUAAUGCUCAUUUUUUGUAUUAAUGAUAGAGAGUCUAUGAGAUAGAUAAAAAAGAAUUGAUGAAUGAUGAUGAAAGAGACGUAGAAAAAAUUUAUAACAAAAAGCACACAAAAUUAAAUCAGACAAAUUAAAAAUAAAAAACUAUUUAAGUUGCUAUCACUUUGAAUAUUUUGUUUUCAUUUACUCUGUUUAUCAUCACCAUUUUUCAUUAAUUCAUUUCCUCAUACACUCAUCAUACAUCUCAAGCAUAAACAGUAAAACCAAAUUGGCUUUUUAGUUAAAAUGGUCAAUGAGAUUGACAUAACUUGUCACUUUGGUUGUUGAGAUUUGAAAUUGAUAGAAGAAAUCCCUAAGUUUGUCAUCGUUUUGAUCAUUCCGUGAAAAAUCUAUGUUAAAUAAAUACUAAAAUGAUAAAAAUACCCUCAAUUUAAAAAACAAUGGGACAAAAUAAUUUGACAAUUGAGGGUAUUUUUUUCUUCUUAUUUAAGGGGAAUUUUUUAACGGAAUAACCAAAAUGAUUGAUGGUUGACAAAUUCAGAAACCAGUUUUAUCGAUUUUAAAUCACAUGAACCAAAAUGAAGAGUUAGACUAAUCUCAAUGAUCAUUUUGACUAAAAAGCCAACCAAACCUUGAAAACAAAUUGCCACCACCAAAAUGGGACUUUCGUAAUGCCUAUUUUUUUUUAACAAACGAUAUUAUCUAUAUUAAAAGUGAAGUAAUGGACUACUUCAACUUCAAACCUUCAACUUGAAAUGUAAAAAAAUAAUAAUAAUAAUAGAGUUCCUAUAUACACCCGAAAGUCCAAUGCCGCCAUUGUCUACCAACCUUGGACUUGGACUCUAUAAUACAUUACACACUAUUGUGUGUAAUGACUAGUCCAGUUAGCUUUCGAGCUUUUCGCAGCUAAAUACAAUACUUUAUAUACAUAUACAGCUAAGGGACUAAGUCUAACGCAGUUUGCCAUAUGUAUUACAACCCAAUUACCCAAGAGAAGAAAAUCUGGAUUUAUCAGUUGAAAAAGCAUCAAGAAUGAGAAACUCUGUGAUUCUUGAUAUUACUGGGAAGAGGAUUACUGCACGGACGAUACUGGUGUUUAUGGCGGCAGCAGCUGUCGCCGGUUGCUUUAUUGUCUACAAUUUUGUGUAUCCUUCUGGAUUUCGUUAUGAUGGCUUGGCAUCACCCCUCCCCUCCUGCAGAACCACAACCCCUCCACUUCAGCAGGCGAAUACCACAACUCCUCCGCUUCAGCAGGCGAAUACCACAACCCCUUCGCUUCAGCAGGCGAAUACCACAACUCCUCCGCUUCAGCAGGCAAAUACCACAACCCCUUCGCUUCAGCAGGUGAAUACCACAACCCCUUCGCUUCAGCAGGCCAGUACAGUACGUAGUCCUCUUAAUUCAUUUCUUAUCUCUCCCUAAUUAAUCCUGUUUACUUUCUACUCCGCAAAUCAGUAUAUUUAUGGGUUCUUUAGAGAUAUGCUAUUGCAAUUUUUAUUUCCUAGACAAAACUUAUCUAUAUUUAAACAUUCAAUUAAACCCCAAAAUUCAAAUCCAUUGAUAUGUAGACAAAGAAAUAACAUAUACUAUUUACAACCUAUGCCCCAAUACACCCUAAUUAUGUCAAUGCAAUUUACUAAUACCAACAGUAAUGAUGAAAUCCUAACAAUAAUGAUGAAAUGUUAAAUUUGGUCUAGUUUUUUUUUUUUUUUUUUUUUGCAAGCAUCUAAAAGUUCAACUUGUAGGUGCAUUAUACUUGAUUUAUAUGUGCUUUAGUCAAUAAUUGCUCAAAAUUUCAAUUUUUAUAAGCUACAAUUGAAACAAUAUACAUACAUAUUCUCUUUUUCAUUAAAUAUAUAAAUAUAUUUCCUUAUAAAAAAUAUAAAUAUAUUUCAGGUCAGUACGUAAAUAUUUGUAAAAAUAAUUUACAUAUAUUUUUUUCAUUUAACCAAAUGAGAUAUGACAUCCUUUAUCUUAGCAAAUGACAUCUUUAUCUUCAAGUAUGUACUUUAAUUUCAUAAAAUAAUUUACCUGUACCUACAUGUGAAAUAUUGGUAAUUAAACUGAACCGAAUGACAUCUUUUAUGUUGUAGUAAAUUAUUUUGCACAUAUUAUUACAUGCUUUAGGCACAUUUUAUUGUUAUUAUAUAUAUGUGGUAUGUAAAAUAAUUUACCUAUAUUUAUAUAUAAAAUAUAGGUAAAUUUAUUUUGAGAAGAUAACAUUCUUAUAUUUUAUUGGCAGCUAAGAGGCACAUUUUGUUUUUAUAUAAUGCUCACAUAUUUUGAAAAGGGAAAAGUUAAACGAAAAAAUUUCUAAUUUUAUGCAAAUUUGAAAGGCAACUAAGCAUUUUUUAGGCAUUUUAUAUUAGCACCCCACAUUAAAAUUUAAUAUUAAAUGAUUUAUUUACCCUACUAUGUAAUGACAAUUUUGACCUUAUUAGGUUAAACAAAUAUUCUAAAUACACCCCAAAUCACUUUUAACGUAUUAUUUAUUUUCUUCAACUAUCAAAAUCCCUUUGACCCUCCAUUGUUGAACAAAACCCUAACCAAUGAAACUACAAACAUGUUGAUUGAGAAAAAUUAUUUUUGACGAAUGAAACACGAAAUCGAUGUUUUGGAAGCUUCACAUAAGGUAAGACUUCAUAUUUUUUUAUUGUUUUAGUGAUUUUGACGACAUUGAUAAUUAUUUAAUCUUGCUUUUGCUACGUUAUUCAAGCUUCUAUAUUCUUAUUCAUCUUUUAGGGAUCAUAGGGAUUACAUGAAGAAUUAAACACCUAAAAUUACCACCAAAUAUUAAAAACAUGCAACAUGAGUUUUAAUGGUGGAAUUGAAAACAACCCACAUAUGCUUUAAAUCCCAGGCAAUAUCUUUUGUCAAAAUUCAAGUCGGUAUCUUUUGUCCAAAUUAAAAGCUUUAUAAGAUUUGAGAAAUGUGGGGUGUAUAGAAAAUAUGGGGUGCAUGUAGAAAAUGUAAGGUGUAUAUUGAGAAUGUGAGGUGUGAGGGUAUUAUGGGGAAGUAUGUGGGGUGUGUUAAGAGAAUUUUUCAUUGAAAAAAGUAAAUGUGGAGUGUAUUAAGUAUGUGUGGUUUAUUCAACAAUUUGUGGGGUAUUAAUAUAAUAAGCUUUUUUUUUUUAACCAACGUUAUUAUUUACAUUAAAGUGGGAGGAUGUGGGUUUAACUUCAUAAUGAUCUAGCAAUAAUGUGGUUCAAAUUUACCUUUGGCGAGAAUUAAACUUAAGGCCUCUCACUUACAAGUGAAGAGGAAUGUUACUAGACCGUAGUACUAAGUGACAAAAUAACUAAGAACUUAAAAAAGGAUAAAAAUGAAGCGAAUUCAAACCCUAAUAUCAUAUCAUUGUGUUAUUAAUAUGCAUUGAAACCAUGACAUUAAAUUUUGUUUUUAAUCCGACAUAAGUUAUUAGGGGUAUUUUAGGUAUUCAAAAAUACAAAAUUAUGUGAAGUCAAAUUUAAUUAAGAAAAUUGUUGAGUUGGAGUCUAAUCAUUGGGUUUUCGUUAAGAAAAUAUAAUACGGUGAAUUUUAGUUAAAAAGAAAUAUAAUUUCUAUGAAUAAAGUCAUAUUUUCAUUAAUUAGUUAUGUUAGCAUGUAAGUAUGAUACUAGCAUUUCCUUAUACACUUUAUGUGUAAGAACACAUUUUUUUAGAAAAUGAGAAGGAGAGAGGGAGAGAGAGGGAGAGAACGUGGGGGGAAUGAGAGGUUUUUGUUUUUGGUUUUUUUUUAUUUUUUUAUUUUUUAAAUAUUAGAGGUAUUUUAACAUCACCUGUAGGUGAGACUUUAAUAAAAAACAAUAAAAUUUAGACCUAUGAAAUUACAUUAUUGCCCAUCUUUUUUUUAUGAUAGAAGACUAAGUUGUCUUUUCAUCAUUUUUUGGUUGACAAAGAGAGUUUCAUUAAUUAAUAGUGAUAACAUUAUCGGUGCAUACAGGGCAACCAACAAGAGGAUAUGGAUCCAUUGGAUAAAGUUCUGAAAAAUGCAUGCAUGAAGAACAAAACGGUUAUAAUAACUACGUUAAAUGAUGCAUGGGCAGAGCCCAAUUCAAUAUUUGAUCUCUUUCUUGAGAGCUUUAACAUCGGAAGCAACACGAAAUGGCUGCUCAAGCAUUUGCUAGUCAUCUGCGUGGACCAAAAAGCAUAUGCUCGUUGCUUAGCAUCACACCCUCAUUGUUACUUACUUUACACUCAAGGCACCAACUUUACCGGCGAGGUAUUUUAUCUGACUCCCAAUUACCUACGGAUGAUGUGGAGAAGAACCCAGAUUUUGUCUUCCAUUCUCGACAAAGGCUACAACUUUAUCUUUACGGUAUUUUUCUUAGUCCUUCAUUUCUUCCAAUUUUUGCUUUCUUUUCCAUGAAUGAACUAUUUAGUGAAAUUAAUGGUCAGGAUACCGAUAUAAUGUGGCUUCGAGAUCCAUUUCCACAAUUCUAUCCGGAUGCAGAUUUUCAAAUUGCAACUGAUCAAUUCCUAGCUGAUUCUUAUAGUUUUGACAAUCCUCCCAACUGUGGAUUUGUCAAUGUAAAAUCCAAUGAUCGAACUAUUGGGUUUUACAAAUUUUGGUACCUCUCCAAAUACACAUAUCCAGAUACGAAUGAACAAGAAGUGCUUAAUAGGAUUAAAUUUGAUCCCUUCAUUGCCAAGAUUGGAUUGAAAGUGAGAUUCUUGGAUACAAAAUACUUUGGUGGCUUCUGUGAGCCAAGUAAGGAUUUUAACCAAGUUUGCACAAUGCAUGCCAAUUGUUGUGUUGGUCUUGAAAACAAAGUGAACGAUCUCAAAGCUUUGCUUCAAGUUUGGAAAAAUUACAUGUCAUCACCUCGUAACGCCACAGGCACAUCACAAGCUUUAUGGACCGUCCCACAAAAAUGCAGGUAAUUUUAGCCAUCGCUUAUGAAUCUUCUUCCGUUAAGCCCAUUUCUUAUGCCAAUAGUUUUUAUUCAGAUGUGCUAUCCACACUCUUUUUACUUCUCACACAUCUUUGUUAAUUUUUGUCAUUUGAUAUUAUUUAAUUUAGUCGAUCUGAUGACUGCAAAUUAAGAGGAGUUUGUGAAGUAAAAAAGUGUGUGUGGAUAGCACACCCCUUUAUACAUACCUUUUGCAACCAAAUAAAAAAGGUUGUUGCGUUGAUGAUCAAAUAUUUUUGAAACUUAAUUUUGACUUGAGAACCAUCCCAUGCAUGCAUGAAUCUGACGUCUAUAGUCCUACUUCAUCACGUAUGUUGUCACUUCAGGUAGAAGAAAAGGUGGGUUAAAUUCAACGAUGGAAAUUGCUCCCUGCGGAUCAAAUAUAUGUCAUCUUGCUCAUGAUUAUUAUUACAGAACUUAUUUUGCAGCAGUUUUUCUUUUUGCAAUGUUUAUGUGAAGUGAAUUAGUGAAAAGAAUAUACCCUCCAUUUAUGAAUUGUGACAAUUUCAAAUGUACAAACCAGAAGAGAUAGAUAAAUGCCUACAUGUACGUACAAAUUCAAUUUUAUUUACUCACUUAUAUUGUCUGCUAUCAUGUGCAUAAGCGUAGUUGAGGUACUGACUUUAGAACAUUUUUUUUUCCUCACACUUUACUAAGAGCAAUGUUUAAACAAGAUGUUUCAGUUCCACGUUUCCGCUACGUUUGCAGCUGCUUGUUGUUUCCUAUAGCAGAAGAGUUAGGCCGAUGUAUAUUCUGGAGACUUAUGGCUGCAAGCUAACAUGAUCAUAGACACCAAACUUGCCUUUCUCCUUUGUUAGAAAAGAAUAGGGAAAUUUGUCUAAAUUCGUCAUGAACUGCAACCAUCCAACAGGAAGACAAGCAUGAUGCCCACCAGAUGCUCUGGUUUAGUUUAGAUAAAUGAUGAACUGCACCGAGGACUUACGAGUCUGAUCAAGCCAUCAACUGGCUCUGUGGAAUCGAAUCUUGAUACGUGUGCCACUUCUUGUACCUCUGGAACCUUGGAAGAACAGGUCUAGGUCGAGGAGCAGUCGUGCAGUUGGAACAGCAACGUCCUCUUAAAUACUUCACACGGUUCAAACAGCAUCUGAAAUAGAAAUCCUUACGUAAUGCAGAUGGUAUAAUGACACUUAAGCAGUGACGCUUCAACUUGGAGGAGGGAGGGGUGGAUGGAGAGAGAAUAGCUAACAAAAGGAACUUACAGAUACAGCAGAUUGCACUCGAGAUUUGCACUGUUUCUAUGCCUUAACUCACAGACUUGUGAACCACACGUAUAGCACCUAGCGAAUGUAUUAUUCUCUGGAUCUUCAUGUGUGCUUGCUUUAGUCAUGGCUUCAUGCUUGUAGGCAGGCGGUGGGAGAGAGAGACGAGAGUCAAAUACGAACAAAUUCCCAAUCCACUGGACAGGACCUUCAUUCUCCAGAUAAUGAUAAACACCUUCCUUUAUGUGUAUAAAUGUUGAAAGCCCUUUUGUCUGGCAUAUGAAAUUAAAUUACAACUAAAUGUCCAAAAUAAGAAAAGCGAGAGAAGAAGAUAAAGAAUUGAUUCCAACAUCACAACCACGACCCGUUCCAUCACAAAUUUUCCCAUUAAUCAUGCAGUACAAUCAUCAAUAUACAUUGCAAAGGCUGGCGGUUACCUUAGGAUUGUGGAAUAUACAUUGCAACGGAUAUCUCCAGUGCAAUACAUCAAUACAUCUGUUUUUUCUUUAUCAACAUUUUCUAAUGGAUCUGCAGAAAUGACCUGAAUAAGUACUAACAGAGAUAGAAAGUAGUAUGUUCACAUUCGUCACCAGAAAAUGAAGUUUCUACUACCUUCAGAACAUAUUAAUGCCUAAAUUUUCGUAUAUAAAACAGUAGAGUGCGACCUUCACUAUAUAAUACCACAAAAGUGUUGCUUGACUACAAACUAUGGAACCUCCCAACUGCUGACGUCCCUGAUCUUAAAUCUCCAUACCAAGGCAUAAACCUUCACAUCAGAACUUCAUUUCAAACCAUUACACAUCAAUAUAAUUAUGUCUGUGGGACUUCUGCACAGUUUUUUUGUUUUGCCGAAACAACACUACUUCAACCAUCACACUCUGGCUACAAACAGAAUGUCUCCAGAUGUAACAUAUCAUUGAACUAAAAGUCACGUACCUCUGGUUGCGAAAACCCAACGAAGUGCUCCUAAAGCAGUCCAUAUCAGGUCGCCGAGCCCCUUCAAAAUGACCAAUAUCCCAUUCAUAACCUGAUUACAAGCAGUGACAAAAUCUUUAAACUUCUGUGGCUGAAAUUAUGAACACAAUUAUUAUAUGGCUGACGUAGAAGCUACACAAAUAACAAGAAUUGCAUGCGCAAUUAUACAUUAGAAACAUGACCAAGGCAACAUGUCAAACAACACAAGAAGAAACGACAGUGUUAAACAAAUCUAGCUAUCAAGGACUGUUCAAAUGUACAGUUAUGAACAAGUCUUUAUUGAACACUCAAAAUUGUUCCAACAACAAUACGCACAGUUGAAGGGAAUUGCCGGAUUAACGAUAAGAGGAAAAUCAUUUAAAAUUAAAAGGCUAGGAAGUAACAUACCAUUUCUCACCUCCAAUAAAAUCUGGUUUCUUUUAAGAUUGUCAUUUGACACAUCAAUAGUUGUAUUCACUGCUUCCAAUCUCUUUCUUCAUUCAGAUGGAGAUAGAUUUGUUGCUCGCAUUGAAGGGUCCAGCAAAGGAAGAUGUGAAAUACCUCCUUCUAACUGGAAGCGGGGGAGAUAUAUGUUAUGACAUCAGCGACAAGAUGUAGAAGAAAAAGAAGUUCUGUUGGGGCUUGCCUGAACCAGUGAGGGCUUAUACCGCAAUGGCCAUUUGUUGCUGCAGAAACCUGCACUAGGAUGCCGGAAAAUCUCUCGUUUCCUCUUAACCAUUCAAAAUAUGCAACAAGUGCAUCUCUCGACAGCCCACUAUACUGCACACAUGCACAACACAGGAUAUUAAACACACUUCUUAUUUGUUUGUCUUGCUGUAAUAUGUAUGGUUCAUGAAUUCAGUUCACUUGUACAUACAAUCCGGCUGUGGAACGAACGUCCUCCGCAGAGAAUUUCUGCUCAUAAACAUUAGUACAUUACAAAUACAAAGCAAUAUGCUAAGAUAGAUUAUAGCAUUGUAUAAGCAUUUCAUUCAUUCAUUCCACUGAUUUCAUAAGCAAACAUUACAAAAAGAAAGCAAUAAAUACCUGUGCAUUAUCCCUUGUUCAUUCAGAUAUAUCCGCCCACGUAUGUUGAGACCCUCUACGAAAGAGGGAUGCUUGGCCGCCACCGCCACCGCCUCUGCGUCUUUGAUCAUUACGAAAUGGUAGAAAUUCACCACCACCCAUUCGUUAUCCUCUCCCCUGCUUUCGUAGCUGCACUUGCAUUGCAAGCCAACGCCCGCACGACGUCCGCCUUUCCGUUUGCUUCUUUCUGGUAACCAAAGGCAUUGUCUUUGCCUCUGCUGGUUAUGCUCGUUGUGAUUUGAGAAAGAAAGGCAAGCUGUUUGGGCGGCGGAGGAGCAGACUGGGAAUUCAAAUGAACCUUUCCUUCUUCUGCCCACCAAAGCAAUUUGAGUAAUUGUGGAGCUCGACGCACCGGAUAUUACCGCCGGCGCCGGAAAACACCCUCUCAUAUUUUCUGUCUCUCCGUAUCUGUUCAGUCUGUGAGCAGUGAGUGAGUACUGUGGGACUGUUGAUGAACGGAGAGUGACAGUGUAUUCCAUUUGAUACGGCGUCGUAUUACAGUUGCUUUUAUCCAGCCCAAAGACUAUAGGCCCAAUUCAGACGAGUCAAAGCCCAAUACCAACGGCGUCGUAUGGGCUUAAAAUGACCCAAGAAAAAGAAAAUACAAAAAAUACGAUUUAACUUUACUCCGGCAGGUGAAGGGACUCAAUCUCAAAAUUAGGUCGAUAGAUUUCGUUAUCUGAAAUUUGUUCUUGUUGGGGCGCAAAAUAAAAAAACCCUAACCGUAGUGGUGUUGCAAUCCGAUUAUCCGAUUUGGAAAAUCAGAGGAUGGGGGCGAGUCGGAAGCUCCAGGGCGAGAUCGACCGCGUUCUCAAGAAGGUCCAAGAAGGCGUCGACGUCUUCGAUAGCAUUUGGAACAAGGUUUGUAGCUUCUUCUACCUUCCUCCGCUUGCUUACAAAAACGCAAAUUCCAACUGAUAAAACUACUGAUGCUUGUUUGUGUGCAAUGCGAUUAGGUUUACGAUACGGACAAUGCGAACCAGAAAGAGAAGUUUGAGGCCGACCUCAAGAAGGAGAUUAAGAAGCUUCAGAGGUACAGGGACCAGAUCAAGACUUGGAUUCAAUCCAGUGAAAUCAAGGAUAAAAAGGUUUUAUCUUUUUAUUUUCGAUAUGCAAUUUUGAAUUUUUCUACCUUCGUUUGUACUCGUUGAUUUUGGACGUGACAAUUGAUUCAUGUUUUGAUACACGUUGACGUAGGUCAGUGCCUCUUAUGAGCAGGCUCUGGUGGAUGCUCGCAAACUCAUUGAGCGCGAAAUGGAAAGGUUCAAGAUAUGUGAAAAGGAGACAAAAACAAAAGCAUUUUCUAAAGAAGGAUUGGGCCAACAACCUAAAACCGUAACUACUUAUCCUAUAUGUUUCUUUUCAUUCGCCCCUAGUUUUUAAUCAGUUCAUGAUUUUUGUUCUUUGGUAAUACCGUUGUGGCAAUGCUCAUGAUAAUGUGAAACAAAUUGCCAACUGUGUAAUUCCUUUUUAUGAUAGGAUCCGAGGGAGAAGGCCAAAUCAGAGACAAGGGAUUGGAUAAACAACGUGGUAUGUGAAACAAAAGCUUUUUCUUGAAGUCUGUUGUUACCUACUUCUGCUGCCUUAAAAAGCCUGUGACUGUAUAAAACAGUGUGGUUUAGGAUGUCUGCUGCGUUUGUAGUUUAAAUUAUGUCAAUAUUUCAUUUUAUUGCAUGAUCCAUGUUUAAUUGAUGUAUAAGUUUUGGCUUGUGUGUGUGCUCGUGUCUGCUAUAUAUUUAAUUAUAUGUACAAUGGUAAUGGAUGGUUGUUAAAGGGGAACUGGAGUUCUUUAAUUGAUUGAUGGUUGCCAUUGGAGCUGUGGUGCACUGAUUGUCUUUAUUGAAGUUUUAUACGUUUGUUGUUCCUUUUUUUUUUUCCAGUUAUGCUUUAGAUCGCAUUUGUUUCUUAUGUCGUUAUAACUUGACAAUAAUGGUUUUAAACAUCACAUUUGAUGUGAUCGGUUUUACAAGUUAUGUAUUGGAAAUUAUCCAUUAUCACUCAGUGAGUAUUUUUGGUGUUUCAUUGUGUUGAGAAGGUUGGGGAGUUGGAGUCUCAGAUUGACAGCUUUGAAGCUGAGAUUGAAGGGCUAUCUUUUAAGAAAGGGAAGGGCAGACCACCCAGACUGGUAGGAGAAAGAAACCUGCAUUCUUAGGAAACAUGUGGUUUUUCUGCAUCCUUUGACAAAUAUUUUUUUAUUUGUCUUGCAGACCCAUCUAGAGACAUCAAUUACUCGGCAUAAGGCUCAUAUAAUGAAGUUAGAACUGAUCUUGAGGCUAUUGGAUAAUGAUGAGCUGAGUCCUGAGCAGGUCAAUGAUGUUAAAGACUUUUUGGAAGACUAUGUGGAACGCAAUCAGGUUUAUUGUGCUUUGAAUUUUAUAUUUGUUUUGUUUGGGUAUUUAUAAAUAUGCAUAUAGAACAUUCUCAAUCAUGGUCAUGUAUUGCUUUUGAAUUACCUAUGUCAGACUUUUUUUUUAUUUUGUUAUGUUAAUCUUUAGGAGGAUUUUGAUGAAUUUAGUGAAGUUGAUGAGCUUUACAACACCUUACCAUUGGACAAGGUGGAGUCCCUUGAAGAUCUGGCCAUUAUUCCUCCUGGUCUUAUCAAGGUACUUUUUUUUGUUUUUGUUUUGCUGAAUGCAAUUUCUAUUUAAGGUUCUUAUAUUUAGUUGGAGGUUGUAGUUAUUUAAUUUUUCAUUACAUUUGGAAACGUAUCUUGUUAGUUGAGAUAGACAUGAAAAAGAGAGAGAGAAAUGGUUAACAAAGUCUUUUUAAACCAUAAUUCUUUUUAUUACGAAGUAAAUAUUUGCUUAUACGUUUGUUGAUCCUUUAUUGAAUAUAUAACCACUUUGUAAGAUGCUAGUUAAUAAUAUUACUCACUUUGUAAGAUGCUAGUUUUUUUUUUUUUUUUUUUAAUUUUAUUUUAAAGAAUCUCAACUUAACUGUUAUUCAUUUUGUACAAGUUAUCCUGUUACCAUAGAGGAAUCGAUGAAAAAUUGGAAAGUAGAUGGCUUUUAUGGCCUUCCUUAUGCCCCACCAGUAGAGAUGCGCUUGUAACGUUAUAUUUAGAUGCCAGGUUGUCUCAUCUUUGUUAAUUGAGUCCUUAGUUGGGACAUGUGGUUGAUUCAUCUAAACCUAUUCCUAGUUGUUUCUUUAAGUUUACAAAUCAAUUGUUUGCUUAUCAAUUUUGUUGUUUUGCCAUUUGGAUUCCAUUAUCUUUCAUGGUAUCAUAUAUUUUUUAGUAUUUUAAUGACCAUGUCAAAACCCAGUUUAAAUUUUUUAUUUUUGGGGGGCAGGGUGCACCGAUGCUUGGCUUGAAGACUAAUUUGGCACCACCCGCAUCUCCACUGCCUGUAUGUCCUCAAAAUCUUGAGUGAAUGGUACUUGAAUAAGUAGGUGGUUGCAUACUUGAAUCCAUAUGGGUUCUGUUAAGGGAAUUGAAGUUUGCUUCUUUAGUUUUUGAUAAAAACAAUUGCAUUCAUAUUUGGUGUGAUGCUGCAGAGUGCUGUUAAGAUGUGUUUGUAGUAGACAUUUAUAUAACAUAUCUACGGGGUAAUCGUUACUUUUUAUUCUUUUAGUAGAUUUUAAAUCAAAAUUGGUAAUCAAUUGAACUGACCAUUGAUUGAAAGGAAGUUUAAAUUGAAUGAGAAAGUCUUUUUUCCCUCAGGUUUCUAUAUUAGAAUUUUUUAGAAUUUGGAGAUAUGUUGAUGACCUCUGCUUCCUUUCUGUAAGAUGCUGUCUGAUGUUACUGUACUAAAGGUUAGUUUUUCUUUUCCAGCCCGCUGCUACUUCUACUAAUCAGCAGAGUGUUUCUGUCCAAGAGCCAGUUGAAGAUGCAGUUUCCCAGGACAGUAAUGCUGAUAACAUUCCUAGAACUCCACCUCCUAGAAGUGGUGUGCUUUCAUCUUCUCCUGCAUCAACACCAACUGGGAGUCAUGCAACUCCUGUCUCUGCAAGUGUUCCAACUCAUAAUCUGCCCAGUGUGCCAAGUGUUUUGGCCAUUCCAGGUUCAAAUGCUGUUCGGGGUGUCACAGAGAAUGCAGGGGCUGCUAAUUCUUCAUCUCCUGUAAGUUUGUCUGCUUCUGUGAAGGAAGAAGAGUCAGCAAGCUUCCCUGGCCGUAGACCAUCACCAUCUCUUUCUGAUGCUGGACUUGUAAGGGGCAUCAGUCGAGGUGGCUUCUCUGCCCCAAUUCCAUCUAGUAUCCCUGUUAGCUCUAGCAAUGUGUCUCCUAGUAAUAGUGCCCUUGGUGCAGUUCCUUCAGUUUCUGAUGUGACCAAGAGAAAUAUAUUGGGAGCUGAUGAGAGAAUUGGGAAUAGUGGUGUGGUGCAGCCACUUGUUUCCCCUAUAACUAACAGACUGAUCUUGCCUCAAGCUGCCAAGGCUAGUGAUGGAAGUGCUCCAGUUGAUUCUAGUAAUGCUAGUGAGGCUGCUAUACCUGGCAGAGCAUUUUCUCCUUCUAUUGUCUCUGGCAUGCAGUGGAGGCCUGGAAGUUCCUUUCAAAACCAAAAUGAAGCAGUACGUAACUUUUCACUAAGGGUUUCUUCUAUCUUUAUCUCUCUAUUUGUCAUACUCUUUAUUAAUUUCCAGUUUUAUACAUAGGUUGCAUGGCCUUAUGCUACCUCGAAUGUAUACCAUUUGUAGAAUUGAAAAUAUGCUUUUGUUUUGCAGCUUUGCCAUUAUAUCUAUUCUUUAUCUGACUGCAUUAUCGGAUUCAAAUUUUAUGGACUAGUUAGAUUUUGUGAGAUUUUAAGUCAGUUUACCAAUUUUCAGGGGAUAUUUCGUGGAAGGACUGAAAUAGCACCCGAUCAGAGGGAGAAAUUUUUGCAGCGGCUCCAACAAGUGCAGCAACAAGGUCACAGUACCAUUCUUGGCAUGCCUCCUCUUGCUGGUGGAAAUCAUAAGCAAUUUUCUGCACAGCAAAACCCACUUUUGCAACAGGUACUGUACCUUUUGUAGAAUCAGCUGUUGGUUGUGUUUCUUCUGAUUCAGUGAAAUGUGAACAAAUCUAAUUCAUAUCAUACUUUCAUGGAAAGAGAUUGAUAUUUUUCCCCCCACAAGAAUCUCUCUGGCUGCACUUUGUUGGUCAUCCAAUUCAUUGCCCAUUGCUUUAGUUAAUAUCAUGCAUAAUAAUAUCCAUCAUUUAUUACUGAAUGAGAUGUUAGUUUGGUGCAAGAGUUAUUUUAGAUGACAAUUGAUUGUAUGUGCAGUUUAAUCCUCAAAACUCAUCUGUAUCUUCUCAAGCUGGCCCUGGACUAGGGGUACAGCCCCCAGGUCUUGGUACUGUUGCACCUACCACCUUACAGCAGCAGCUAAAUUCUAUCCAUCAACAGUCUAACCAACAGGCAUUGAUGUCGGUUGGACCAAAAGAAACUGGUAAUCUCCAUCCUAAAUUCAGUUUACGAUAUUGUUCUGAUGUUCUAUUUUCCGUUUUUUUAUUUAUGCUAUCUUAUCAUGACCCUUAUUUAUUUUUUCCACCAAGAAGUGAAAAGACUGAAUUGAAUACAGAAAACUCAAAUACAUAGAAUUUUUUUGUAAUGAAAAAAAUUCAGGAUCAAUAAAGAGUGGCAGUUUCUUGUCCAAACCCACACUACUCCAAACACUUGGGAUCAAAUUUAAAAAGUAGUGUACUGUACUGAUCAGCCCAGUGUAACAUGGGUGCACUAUCAUCAAAACUGAAUGAUCUGGUUUAUUUGAUGCAGAUGUAAGUCAUCCAAAAGUUGAGGAACAACAGCAACAACAGAAUAUACCUGAUGAGUCUACUGCGGACUCUACUAGUUCUGGACUCGUAAAGAAUCUAAUGAAUGAAGAUGACUUGAAAGCCUCAUAUGCAGUUGAUUCUCUGGUAUGAAUAUUUUCUUGAUUACUAUAUUAUGAUUUGUUGCCAAUAUUUUUUAUCUUCUUCUGUAUGAUUUUUAACUAGUUAUUGCGGAAAAUUUAUUUUAGUGCAGAGCUGGUAGUAAAUCGUUGUCAUUGUAAGUUGUAUUAUUUUCUUCAAAAAAUUUAGGGUGGUGCUAUUCACACACCUAUUUUUAUCUCUCACCCACCCCUAUCAAUUUUUGGCCGUCGGAUUGAAUGAAUUGAAGAAGAUCAAUGGACAAAAUUUAACAAGAGUGUGUAGGAGGUAAGAAGGGGUGUGUGAAUGGCACUACCCAAAAUGUAAAGGCAUAGCAAGAUGAACAGGUUGGCUACUCUCUGUACCGCCUGCCCAAGAGGAAUACAGAAAAGGACAGGCAAAAGUUGUGUCAAACUUCCUUUAUUCCUAAACGCCCUCCAUUUCACAUAGCAUUCUUACCAAUUUAUUUGCUCUCUAUAUGAUUGUGGUGUGCAUCAUAAAUAUUUUGAUUUAUUUGUGGAAGGAUGGAUGUCCCCACUUAGUGGGAAAAUGCUUUGUUGUUGUUGUUGUGGAAGGAUGGAUGUGGGAUGUGGCUUGAUAUGUGUUACUGAAUCUUAUUUUUUUGAAGGCUGGAGUUUCUGGCUCUUCAACAGAGCCUGCUCAAGUACCACGAGAUAUUGAUCUCUCUCCUGGGCAACCUUUACAGUCCAAUCAACCUUCUCCUAGCCUUGGCAUUAUUGGCCGAAGAAGUGUUUCUGAUCUUGGUGCAAUUGGUGAUAACCUUUCUGGAUCAACUGCUAAUUCUGGGGUAUUGCAUGAUCAGUCGUAUAAUUCGCAGAUGCUUGAGGCUGCUUACUACAAACUUCCACAACCCAAAGACUCAGAACGUGCAAGGAGCUAUACUCCAGUAUGGACCUGAUUAUUUUUAUCAUUUGAUCUCCCUUUUACUGUGAAUAAGAGUCGAGGUUUUAUUUAAUACUCGACUUCAUUCGUUUUGCCAUCAACAGAGGCACCCUGCAAAAACACCUCUAAGCUACCCCCAAGCGCAAGCACCUAUUGUUAAUAAUCCUGCCUUCUGGGAACGGUUAGGUCUUGAACCAUAUGGCACUGAUACCCUGUUCUUUGCAUUUUACUAUCAGCAGGUACUUUUUAUAAAUUGAGUUACAUUUAAUGUCGUAUGGUAGGAUCACUAUAAAGUAUAAACUUGUGUCCAAGUUCAUUAUUGUCUGCAGAACACUUAUCAGCAAUAUUUGGCGGCAAAAGAACUGAAGAAGCAAUCUUGGAGAUACCAUAGGAAAUAUAACACUUGGUUUCAACGGCACGAGGAGCCAAAAGUUGCCACAGAUGAAUAUGAACAGGGGACGUAUGUGUACUUUGACUUUCAUAUUGCAAAUGAUGAUCUACAACACGGAUGGUAUGUUUUAUUUAUCCUUUAGUUUCGCAUUCAAGUUUCUUUGAGUCGUCGUACUUGGUGUUGGGGAGUCUUAAGUAGCCAGAAUUAAGCUCCUCGCCCCCUCUUUUGCCCAAGUUAUUUGAGCGUUUGAGGGACUAGGAGGGGCACGAUUUGAUUAUUUGAGAUAUUUUAAAUGCUAUAGCUUCUAUUAUUGUUAGGAAAUACUGUUGUGAAUAUCACGUUUAAGAAUGAGAAAAACAAAACAAAGCCGGAAAUGAAAAACAAAAUAACCAAGACAAAUAACACCAAAACUUAGCGUGGUUCGGCUAUAUGUGCCUACGUUCACGGGGUAGCAAUAACAAUCUUUCAUUAUAUUAACAAUGAGUACUACGGAUAAUCUUGUCAAUGAAAAACCUGAAAGAACAAGAAUAAGAAAUACACAAUCUGUUUUCUUUUCACACUUUGCCCUUCUCUUACUCUCUGGCUCCUUGAGUGAUAUACAACCUAUUGUUUUGCUCAGAUUCACAACUACUGCAAUAGCCCUUUAUAUAGACAAACUUCAAUAAAGAUUACUAAUCCUGAUUGGAUUCUCCAAUCGAGAAAGCCAACUCCAAUUGGGAAAACAACUUUAGUUGGGUAAACAACUCCAAUUGGGAAACUACUCCAAUUGGGAAAGCAACUCCAAUUGGGAAAACCACUCAAAUUCGGAAAUCAAUCCUAUAAAUCCUAGUAGACUUGGUGUUAAAAUUUCGACUCCCUCUAGAUCUUGCUCUUUGAUGUCUCCGGCAAUAGACUAAAACUUAGCAAAAAAGAGAAAACUAGAAACACACAAGAUUUAUACUGGUUCGGCCGAACUUUUGCCUACGUCUAGUUGUGAUUUCUCUGUGUAGAGAAAUCACAGCUUCUUUGAUUAAUAAUAGAGAUUACAGUACUCUUGCAAACCCUAUCUAGCUUUUUCUCUCAGAUAUUUCAGCCUUGCUGCACCCUAUUUAUAUGUAUGGGGUUCAGCUCACAUGCCCCUUUAUAGAUUAUAUUUUAUAUUCUAAGUGGAAUAGGAAAUUACACUUCCUUUUCAAUUCCAAAUAGACUUAAUAGGAUUCAUAAUCUAAAUUGAAUAAGGAAACUAAGAUUCUUUCCUAGUCCUUUUAGGAGAAGAAUCGUUGCACCCUUUGUUUCCCUAAAACAAUCCUAAACGAAAAAGGACACUAUUUGACGAGCCAAAAAUCCUAACAAUCUCCAACUUGGUGAGUCAAACAAAGUCUUGAUCGUUGCACCCUAGAGUAUCUUUGAACUUUCUUGAAGCAGCUCUGGAAGACAAUCUUCUUCUUGCCUUAUUGCACCUCAAGUGAGGAGGUGUUCCACCUUAAUCAAUCAACAAGAUUGAUCAGGUUCAAGCAAUGCUUGAACUUAUUGGCCGGCACUAUCUUCAUAAGGAAAUUUGCGGCAUUGUCGUUUGUGUGAACUUUUUCAACCAAAAUCUCCUUAGACUCCAUCCUUAUUCUAUGAUACCUUGCUUCAAUGUGCUUUGAUCUUCCAUGAAAAACCUGAUUCUUUGCCAAAGUGAAUGGCACUUUGACCAUCACAUUUUAGCUUCAGAUAAUCAUGAGUGGUUCCCAUUUGACUUACCAAGCCACUAAGCCAAAUUGCUUCCUUUCCAGUUUCGGCCAAAGCAAUAUACUCUGCCUCUGUGGUUGACAAAGCUGUUAUUGGUUGCAGAGGUGCCCUCCAACUGAUUGGUCCUUCUGCGCAUGGAAAGACAUAACUAGAAGUUGACCUUCUCUUGUCUAAGUUCCUUGCAUAAUCAGCAUCCACAUAUCCGAAUGUCUUUGCUUUCUUUUUGCUUCUCAAAUAUAAUCCAUUGUCGCCAAGAACCCUUCAAAUAACCCAAAAUCCGCUUGACUACAUCCCAAUGUUGCUUUCCUGGAUUUGACAUGUACAUGGAAAUGACACUGAUUGCUUGAGCUAUGUCGGGUCGGUGCAUACCAUUGCAUAUAUGAGGCAACCCACGACAUUAGGAUAAGGCACUUUCUCCAUUGUUUGUUUCUCCUUUUCGGACUUAGGAAAUUGUUGUCCGCUUUAUCUGAAGUGAGCCGCCAAAUGAGUUGAAGCUGCAUUUGCUUUUUGCAUGUUGAACUUCUCAAGAGCCUUCGAAAUAUACUUAUUCUGUCAUAGCACUUAUCCAACUAUAUUGCUCAUCACUUGCUAUGGCUUCUCGAUAAGUAGUUGGAUCUCCUUGAUGUUGAGAAUAUCACGUUUAAGAAUGGAAAAAUAGAAUAUACUCUGGAAAUCGAAAACAAAUAACCAAAGAUAAAUAACACCAAGAAUUUACGUGGUUCGGCAAUAUGUGCCUACGUCCAAGGGACAGCAACAACAAUCUUUCACUAUAUCGAUAAUGAGUACAACCAAUAAUCUUGCCAAAUCUCUAGAACUAGGAAUUGAAGAAAAACCUGAAAGAACAAGAACAAGAAAUACGCUAUCUCUUUUCUUUUCUCUUGCACAAACUUUGCCCUUACAACAUUCUCUCACUCCAAACCCUUGAGUGGUACACAAAUUAUUGUUUUGCUCCCUUCUCAAACUAGUACAAUAGUCCCUUUAUGUAGACAUAAUAAAAGUCUUCUUCAAUAAGGAUUACUAAUCCUAAUUGGAAUCUAGUUAUGAAUCAUUCACCAAUUGAGAAACUAACUCCAAUUGGGAAAAUAACUCCAAUUAGGAAAACAAUUGAAUCCUCUAAGACUAUAAUUCCUUAUAGACGUAGGACAACUUAUCAUGGGCUGGAAAAAACCCAACACUUGAUAGCAUAAUUAACUUCGUCUUGGUCAAACCCAAACCUAUAUGGUUUCUUCUUGUUUGGAUUGGGUUUGUCCAGUGACAUGCAUCUUCGGAAUACGGGUGGGUUUUGUGGGUUGGAUUUCGAACCCCUUUGGAUGUUUGGCGGAUUGGAGUGCCUUAAUUUGCCCUAUUUCUUGUUCCACCUGAUUUCUAAUUGGUGAACGAUGCUGAUGCUCGUCUUCCCCAAAAUCAUUAGAUUCGACACCUUGCUUAAUUGGCUCCACCUGAGCUUCAUCUUCCUCUAAUUUGAUUACUAGAAUUCUUGUUGUUUCAAUUUCAACAUCGUCCUUUUCCCCACUGCUUUCGGUUUUAUUCAGAGGCAUGAUUGUCUCAUCAAAGACAACAUCUUGACCGACAGCCUUGUUGAUAUCCCAAAGCUUGAUCCCUCCCUCCUCAAAACCUAAGAAUAAGCAAUGUGCAGACUUAGGUUUGAGUUUGGACCUUUCAUCACUUGUGAAGUGUGAUGUCUUCCUGCUUAUAGUAAUUGGCAAACUCAUUACUUGUACACUCACCUCCAUUGUCACUUCAUCUUUCUUUCAAUUUGAUUCUCGAUUUCUGUCUUCCAUUCCUUGAACUAUUCAAAAACCUCAGAUUUCUGCUUCAUGAAAUAAACCUAUACUUCUAGAAAAAUAAAAGUAACAAAAUACCUAGCUCGACCAUUGGAUUUAUUUGGUGCAGGCCCCAAACAUCUGAGUGAACAUGGCCGAGUUGCUCGUUGCUUUGGUUAUCUGCACUGUUACUUGCGAAUGAUACCUUUGUUUUUCAAGAACACAAUAUUCACAAAAGUCCAGCUUGCAUGUGACACGCCUUCCAAUAGGUCUUUCUUGUGCAAUUCUUGCAACCCUUUUUGACUUAUGUGCCCUAGCCUAUGAUGCUAGAGUUUAGUCUUUUCUUCUUCACUCUGCUUUGUGGAAAUGGCUGCUCCCCCAACUAUCGUAGUCCCAAUUAGCUUGUACGCGUAUUGUAUUGUAGGUCACCUUUCUUGUGCAAUCCUUUGGUUGCCUUGAGGCUUCUUGCUUCAGAACUGUACCCAUAGCCAGUAUUGUCUAAAGUACCAAGGAAAUUAAAUUCUUCAUCACUUUAACGAUAUAUCUGACGUUCCUCAAAGCUCGAUCACUCCAUCAAACAUUUUGAUUCUUACAAUGCUGGUUCCUUUAUAGGACAUGGUGAAUCGUCCUCUAGUAAAACUUCUCUACUGCUGACCUCCUUGUAAAUAUCGAACCAUUCUUUGAUUGCACACAUAUAUGGAAUGUGCAUCGAGUAUCCAAAAUCCAACUUGUGAAAAUCUUGGAGCCUGAUGUUUCCUAUCACUCUCUUGCUGGGUGACUACUUGAACCUGAGCUUCCUUACAUCUUGGCAUUCUUCCAAUGAUCGGGAGAACACAAUCGAAGCAACCUUUUUUUCCUUUUGUCUUCUUGGAUUUUGACCUACUCAUGUUGUUGCUAUUCUUCUUGUCUUUUUCCGUUCCCUAUCCUUGCCUUUGGCAUAAAGGACUUGAGAUCUCUUAGUUAUAUCAUCUAGCAUAGCAUAUGACUGAAGGGCUUGAAUUGCAUCUUCAAGCUUAAGAGAAUACUUUCCAAACAUUCGGGUUGUUUGAAAGUGCUUGAAAGACGAAGGUAGAGACCUUAGCAAGAUGAUUGCCAUAUCUUGGUCUUUGUAAGUUUCAUCGACCUUCUCAAGAUUGACUAUGUAAUUCUGAAACCUACAUACGUGAUCUUCAAUAUCAUCCUUGAGAAAAAGUUUAUUGGAUACGGUUUUGCCCAUAUAAACAUUCUCCAACUUGUCCCAUGCUUCUUGAGCUGCAUCUUUUCUGUGACGUAGGAUCGACUGAUCUCGUGAGACGGAUCUCGACGGAGCUCUUCACCUUCUUGAGACCUUCUUGAGAGCCUUGGUCCAUGCCUAGAAUUAAAACUUGACAAAAAACCUGAACGAAUAAAAAACAAGACACUAUUUAUCUUUUUUCUUUUCUCUUGCACACGCUUUGCCUCUCUCACUCUAGCUCCUUGAGUAGUACAACUUAUUGUUUUGCUCCAAUUCAAAACUAGUGCAAUAACCCCGUUAUAUAGACAUAAUAAAGGUCGUCUUCAAUAAGGAUUACUAAUUCUAAUUGGAAUCUAGUCAUGAAUUCUUCUCAAUUGAGAAGCCAACUCCAAUUGGGAAAACAACUUCAAUUGGUUAAACAACACCAAUUGGGAAAACAACUUCAAUUUGCUAAACAAGUCCAAUUGGGAAAACCACUCCGAUUGGGGAAAACAUUCCAAUUGGAAAAUCAACUUAAUCCACUUAAGACUAUAAUUCCUAAUAGACUUCCGACAACUCAUCAUGGGCUGGAAAAAUCCAACAUAUACAUCUCAAGAAAAAGGGUUGUGUUCCGUUUGCUUCCCAUUUGUGUUACAUUUACAUUUAUGGCUUUGGGGUUUGUUUGUUACAGCACACGUACAAUCAUACUUGUUAUGGAAAACCAAUCAGUUAAUGUGCUUGACAUUUUUGUUUUCAUUGAUAACAUGACGGAUUUAACUGUGAUUAUAUGUUUUGUUGUGGUACGGUACGGUACAGGUGCCAAAGGAUCAAAACUGAGUUCACUUUUGAAUAUAACUAUCUUGAGGAUGAGCUUAUCGUAUAGAAGAUGUUGAGAGGAUGCUACAACGUUGAGCCUAAACCCCCAUGGUAUUUGACAUGGAAAAAAUGAUGACAUUGAGCUUAACUGCUUCGCAUAGUUCAAUUGGGGGAACUUUUGAUACCUUUUUAUUAAACCGUUUGGCCUUUUGUUCUGUGCAGGUUGGGUUACAUCGUAAGAAUGGGGCUGGAAACUCCUUUCGGCUCUGCUUCUUGACCGCGUACAGCUUAGGUUUAAUGUUAUUGGUCGAAUCUAGUUUUCGUAAAAAAUGAAAAUUUUUUGAACAUUUCAAAUUUUAUUGGUACGUGCAUUGAAAAAAAGUUUUAUAAGCUUUUCCGAACCAGUUGGACCAAUUAUUCAAGUCCCGUAAGCACUUUUUACGGAUUUUUAAGGUGGAGAAAUAGAAAAAUGUCGUACCCAGUGCACAAGGCUCCCGCUUUACGCAGGGUCUGGGAGAGGUGAAUGUCGGCUAGCCUUACCCCCAUUUAUAGAGAGGCUGCUCCCAAGUCUCGAACCCGAGACCUACCGCUCAUGGGAGAAAUAGAAAAAUAAAAAUAAUACUUGUGGCGAGCACAAGUGAUAUUUGAGAUCUAAAAAAUUCGUUAAAACUCAAUACCAAUUUAUUGAUAAGUUUAUCGAUAGACUAAAAGGAAAGCAAAGUAGGCUUAGGAUCGCUACUGCAAAAACUAGCAAAAUGGAUCUAAAAUAAUGACAUAUAGCUUAUGGUUUUCUUGAAUACCACAAAUUUUGAAAAAUUUGUAAGCUUAUAGGUAUACUCGUUAAAAAAAGUUUUAUAAGUUCUUCCGAAGUAUUUGGACCAUUUAUAAAGACUAUAAGUAAAUGUUAUGGAUUCGGAAAAUCCUUGAGAGCCAACAUGGAUUACUGAGAAGCUUAUGGAUCAAUCAAAAUGAUACAGAUCACUAUUCUAAAGAUUUUCGAUCCAAAAUUGUGACUUGUAGCUCAGUUUUCAUGAAAAAAGCAAAUUUUAAGCAAAUUUUGAUCAUUUGGUAUUUUUUCGGCAUAUGCAUUAAAGAAAGUACUAUAAGCUCUUUGGAAGUACUUGCACCGGUGUUUAAGACUCAUAACUACAUUUUACGGAUUCUUAAUGUGGUGAAAUAGAAAGAAAAAAAAUUAAAAAGCUGGUGAAAUAGAAAAAAUAAAUAAACACUGAUGCAGAAUGAAAAUGAUAUUUAAGAUCUAGAAAAAUCAUUAAGAGCCCUACACAAGUUAUUCAAAAGCUUAUCGAUCAAUCAAAAUGACAAGAUAAUAGGCUUACGAUCACUAGUUUAGAAAGUAGCAAAAUCGAUCUGUAAUUGUGACUUAUAGCUCACAGUUUUCGUGAAAAUUGCAAGUUUUAAACAUUCUGAGAUCUUGAAAAAUCAUUCAGAACCCUACGCAGAUUAUUGAUCGAGCAAGAUGACAUGAAAGUAGGCUUACAAUUUUUACGAAAAAUGUAAAAUUUUGAACAUUUCCAAAUUUUAGGUAUAUGCAUUAAAGAAAGUUUUAUAAGUUCUUUGGAAGUGUGGGACCAUUUUUUAAGACCAAUAAGUAUUUUUUACGAUUUAUUAAUGUGCUGAAAUAGAAAAAUAAAUAAACACUAACGGAGAGUGAAAAUGAUAUCCGAGUUCUGGAAAAAUCAGUAAGACCUACACAAAUUAUUGAAAAGCAUAUAGAUCAAUCAAAAGGACACGAUAGGUGGCUUAUAAUCACUCGUUUAAAAAUUAGCAAAAUUGAUCCAAAAUCGUGACUUCUAACUCACAGUUUUCGUGAAAAAUGCAAGUUUUGAACAUUUGCAAUUUUUUUAAUAUACACAUUAAAGAAAGUAUUAUAAGCUUUUUGGAAGUAGUUGGACCGUUUUUCAAGACUUACAAGUAUAUUUUAUGGAUUUUUAAUAUGGCGAAAUAGAAAAAUAAACAAAAACUGUCGCUAAGUGAAAAUGAUGUUCGAGAUCUAGUAAAAUCAGUAAGAGCCCUACACAGAUUAUUGAGAAGCUUAUUGAUCAAUAAAAAUGACACGAAAAUAGGCUUACGAUCACUACUUUAGAAAUUAGCAAAAUCGAUCCGUAAUUGCUCACAGUUUUCAUGAAAAAUGCAAAUGUUGAACAUUUGCAAAUUUUUUGGUAUACGCAUUCAACAAUGUUUUAUAAGCUCUUCGGAAGUAGUUGGACCAUCGUUUAAGACCAAUAAGUUUAUUUUACGGGUUACUUGUCACAUCCCCGCCCGGGGUCCACCACAUCCCGAGCCCGCUCCACCACCAUAGCACGAUAUUGUCCGCUUUUGGCUUACCAUUCCCUCACGGUUUUGUUUUUGAGAACUCACGAGCAACUUCCCAGUGGGUCACCCAUCCUGGGAGUGCUCUGGCCUCCUUCUCGCUUAACUUCAGAGUUCCUACGGAACCCGAAGCCUAUGAACUCCUAAAAGGCCUUGUGCUAGGUAAGGAUGAGAAUAUACAUUUAAGGAUCAAUCCCCUGGGCGAUGUGGGAUGUUACAUUACUAAUAUGGCAAAAUAGAAAAUUAAAUAAACACUAGCGGAAAGCAGAAAUGAUAUCCGAGAUCCGAAAAACUCAUUAAGAGCCCUACACAGAUAUUGAAAAGCUUACUGAUCGAUCAAAAUAGCACAAAAGUAGGCUUACAAUCACUAGUUUAAAUAUUAGCAAAAUUGAUCCUAAAUCAUGACUUAUAGCUCACAGUUUUAAUGGAAAAUGAAACUUUGGAACAUUUGCAAUUUUUUUGGUAUAAGCUUUAAAGAAAGUAUUAUAAGCUCUUCGGAAAUAGUUAGACAAUUUUUUAGGACUCCUAAGGAUAUUUUACAGUUUUUUUUUUUUUUUUUUUUUUUUUUUUUGUGGUGGAAUAGAAAAAUAAACAAACAUUGGCGCUAAGCAAAAAUGCUAUAUGAAAUCUAGUAAAAUCAUUAAGAGCCCUACACAAAAUAUUGAGAAGCUUAUUAAUCAAUAAUAUGACACAAAAGUAGGCUUACAAUCACUACUUUGGAAAUUAGCAAAAUCGAUCAGUAAUCGUGAUAGCUCACAAUUUUGGUGAAAAUGCAAAUUUUGAACAUUUGCAAAUUGUUUGGUAUACACAUUCAAGAAUGUUUUCUAAACUCUUCAGAAGUAGCUGGACCAUUUUUUUACGACCUAUAAGGUUUUUUUUAAGGGUUAUUAAUGUGGUGAAAUAGAAAAAUAAAUAAACACUAGUGGAAAUGAUAUCUGAGAUCCAAAAAAAUCAUUAAGAGCCCUACAUAGAUUAUUGAGAAGCUUAUUGACCAAUCAAAAUGGCACGAAAGUAGGCUUAUGAUCACUAGCUUAAAUAUUAGCAAAAUUGAUCCAAAAUUAUGACUUAUAGCUCACAGUUAAUGAAAAAUGAAACUUUUGAACAUUUGCAAUUUUUUUGGUGUACGCUUUAUAGAAAGUAUUAUAAGCUCUUCGGAAGUGGUUCGACAUUUUUUUAGGACUCAUAAUCAUAUGUUACGGAUUUUUAACGUGGUGAAAUAGAAAUAAAUAAAUAAAUAAACAUUGGCGCUGAGCGAAAAUGAUAUUCGAGAUCUAGAAAAAUCAUUAAGAGACCUACACAGAUUAUUGAGAAGCUUAAUGAUCUACCAAAAACAUAAAAGUAGGCUUAUGAUCACUACUUUAGAAAUUAGCACAAUCGAUCCGUAAUCAUGACUUAUAGCUCACAUUUUUUGUGAAAAAUGCAAAUUUUGAACAUUUGCAAAUUUUUUGGUAUACGCAUUCAAGAAUGUUUUAUAAGCUCUUCGGAAGUAGUUGGACCAUUUUUUAAGAUCUAUAAGUUUUUUUGGUUUUUUUACGGAUUAUUAAUGUGGUGAAAUAGAAAAAUAAAUAAACACUAGCGGAGAGUGGAAAUGAUUUCCGAGAUCUAGAAAAAUCAUUAAGAGCCCUGCACAAAUUAUUGAGAAGCUUAUUGAUCAAUCAAAAUGACAAGAAAGUAGGCUUACGAUCAUUACUUUUGAAAUAUCGUGAUCUAUAGCUCACAAUUUUCGUGAAAAAUGCAAAUUUUGAACAUUUGCAAAUUUUUUGGUAUACGCUGUUUUAUAAGCUCUUUGGAAGUAGUUGGCCCAUUUUUAAAGACCUAUAAGUUUUUUUUUUUUUUUUUUUACGGAUUAUUAAUGUGGUGAAUGUAAGAUCUCACAUCGACCAACGGAGAUGGGGUGAUGUACCUUAUAUGUACAUGCUCCCCUCCCUAUAGUACGAGGCAUUUUGGGAACUCACUGGCUCCAUAUCCCAUAAGAACUCCGAAGUUAAGCGAGUUUGGGCGAGAGCAAUCCUAGGAUGGGUGACCCACUGGGAAGUUCUCGUCUGAGUUCCCAGAAACAAAUAUGUGAGGGAAUGGUAAGCCCAAAGAGGACAAUAUUGUGCUACAACGGAGUCAAGACUAGGAUGUCACAUAAUGGUCUCAGAGCCACUCUGCUGUUCGGUGCGAAUGUGCCGGCGAGGACGCCGGGUUCCCCUUAAGUGGGGUGGAUUGUAAGAUCUCACAUCGACCAACAGAGAGGGAGUGAUGUGUCUUAUAUGUACAUGUCCCCUCCCUAUAGUAUGAGGUUUUUUAGGAACUCACUGGCUCUGGAUCCCAUAAGAACUCCGAAGUUAAGUGAGUUCGGACGAGAGCAAUCCUAGUAUGGGUGACCCGCUGGGAAGUUCUCGUCUGAGUUCCUAGAAACAAAUCCGUGAUGGAAUGGUAAGCCCAAAGCGGACAAUAUCGUGCUACGAUGGAGUCGAGACUAAGAUGUGACAGUGAAAUAGAAAAAUAAAUAAAUGCUUGUGGGGAGUGGAUGUCCAAGAUCCAAAAAAAUCAUUAAGAGCCCUAAACAGAUUUUUUUUUUUUGAACAAACAAUAUUAUCUACACUAAGGGGAAGGGUGUGAGCUUAUCUUCACAAUGAGCUAGCAAUAAUAUGGUUCAAAUUCGCCUUUGACGAAUAUCUAACCUAAGACCUCUCACUUACAAGUGAUGAAGAAUACCACUAUAUCGUAGUACUAAGUGGCUGCCUAAACAGAUUAUUGAGAAGCUUAUUGAUCCACCAAAAUGCCAUGAAGUUGGCUUACGAUCACUGGCUUAAAGAUUAGCAAAAUUGAUCCAGAAUCAAUGAAAAAAGAAAAAAAGAAACUUUUGAACUUUUGCAAUUUUUUUGGUAUACGCUUUAAAGAAAGUAUUAUAAGCUCUUCGAAAGUAGUUGGGCAGUUUUUUAGGAUUCAUAAGGAUAUUUUAUGGAUUUUUUUGGUGGUGAAAUAGAAAAAUAAACAAAAACUGGCGCUAAGCGAAAGUGAUAUAGUAAAAUCGUUAAAAGCCCUACACAGAUUAUUGAGAAGCUUAUUGAUAGAUCAAAAUGGCAUGAAAGUGGGCUUACGAUUACUAGUUUAAAUAUUAGCAACAUGGAUCCAAAUCGUGAGUUAUAGCUCACAGUUUUAAUGAAAAAUGAAAUUUUGAACAUUUGCAAUUUUUUCAGUACACACUUCAAAGAAACUAUUAUAAGCUCUUCGGAAGUGGUUCUACAGUUUUUUAGGACUCAUAAUUAUAUGUUACGGAUUUUUUAAUGUGGUGAAAUAGAAAAAUAAAUAAACACUGGCAUUGGGCGAAAAUGAUAUCCGAGAUCUGGAAAAAUCAUUAAGAGCCUUACAUAGAUUAUUAAGAAGCUUAUUGAUCAAACAAAAUGACAAGAAAGUAGGCUUCCGACCACUACAUUAGAAAUUAGCAAAAUCCAUCCAUAAUCGUGACUUAUUGCUUACAGUUUUCGUGACGCAAAUUUUUUGGUAUACGCAAUCAAGAAUGCUUUAUAAGCUCCUCGGAAGUGGUUGGACCAUUUUUUAAGACCUAUAAGUUUUUAUUUUUUUAAUU